Molecule: long non-coding RNA, 61871 nt
Filed under: Setaria viridis
Lineage: Eukaryota; Viridiplantae; Streptophyta; Magnoliopsida; Poales; Poaceae
Description: long non-coding RNA (SVIR_LNC005198)
Source: RNAcentral
UUUUUUUUUGUGAGGAGAGCAAUUAGUUCAGUAAAGAUGCAACCAGACCUCGAAACUGGCCAAAUCUAAUGAUACUGAAAGUCCUUCCUGUUUAGCAAUCCUAAUAGCUUCAAUAAUCUGUUCCAUGUUCUGUUGUGCAUAUCUCACAACAAGCCACUGCAUCAAAAUAAAUAGCAAUGAAAAUUCAGACUUAACAAAAACAUGUGCUAGGAUGUUUUUUAUAAGAAGAAUAAUAUAUCACGAAACGGAUGUGCACCAAAGAGGGAAAAGGAAAGCACCUUGGAGCCUUUGAAGUCCUCCUCUCUAAACUCAUUGGCCUGUUAGAUGGACAAAUGAUCUCACCAAUCAUAAGAUUGUUAAGAGAUGUAAAUUUAACACUGCAUCAGACAAGGGUAUACCUGCAGCUUGACUGCACUAGAUAGGCAUGGCCGCAUGGUGCGAUUGCCGCUUGCAUCAACCAAGCACGCACACUAUAACAGGUAUGCUUUUCAGCCUUAUCCACUAUGCAGUAAAAUAAGGGCAAAAAAGAUAAAUUCUGGCUUCUGUUAGGCUACCUGAGCGGUGUGCCCUUUUUUGGGCCUUAAUCUUGUGAGAUCUACACCACUAAAACUCAUAUUGUCGACAAACAAAAUGGCCUGGUUAUCAUCUCCACAAGCUCCAAUUAUUCCAGUUGAUAUCCCAAAACCAGCUGAGAGCCCACGGAUUGUGUUGGCAACGCUUCCACCAGCCAUUGUAGUUAUUGGAGUGAGAUCAUUGCGGGAAGGAAGGAUGUGGGCAUUCACUUCAGUAAGAAUAUGAUUCAGCUCCUCAAUGGACACCUGUACAUAAAACUAUUGUCAGAUGAAAUGCAGAACCCAACCCAAUGACACAAAGUUUUGAUUCCCCUUGUAAGCGAUGCCAGGUUAGUUGCAUUAUCUUGAUGCAAAACAACUCAAGGUUCAGAAAAUAUUUCAUAAUGCAAAUGCAACCACAAAAAACAACAAUAAAACACACUGGAUGUGUGAUUCUUCAACAGUUCAACAUCCAUGCGAUAACUAAAAAGGUUGUAGACAGUUUUCAACUAGCAUAACAUAUAUUUCCACUUUUCUUGGUAGCUUUGAUUCCAAAUUUCUUUUAUGUUGCAUUAAAGAAAAAUCUUAUGAUAGAAUGGAAUUGUUCCUGCACAUGUAUGCAUGUGCCUUUUGCUUUGUUUAGAAGCUAAAGCCAAAUGUUGCCUUCUUGGAAUUAUGCUAGUAUGAUGGGAAGGAAAAUGAUAACAUUUCAGCAUGUUCAACUGAAGAAUCUCUGACUGUCAGUUCGUAUAUAAGAGAGUAGGUUGAUUUGAUAGAUAGAGGGACUCUAACCUAUUGCACAUAAUCCAGAAGAUACAGGUACAAAGUAUGACAUUUUAAAAUCUAGGUUGGAAUCUAACUGCUACCAAUUUAUAAUUUCAUCUAUCAAAAAAAAAUGCAUUAUAGACUAUCUUGGGAGCAUACACUACUUCCUUACACAAGGGCAGCAGUCACAUCAUAAAGGUGGCAGGUGCUAAUUAAGAUUCAAGAUCAUUGCAAGUACUACUUUUCUCUCUUGACAAUUACGGGGAACUCCUGUGUGGAGAUCAAAUAUGACAGGGAGAAAAUAAGUAAUUAGAAUUUGACAAGAUGCUGAGCCUGCAAUCAUGUAUCUUUGCAUAGAAAAGUCAAGAAUGUCUGACGACCAUAACUAGCAUGGUGGUUUCUUUCACUACAAACUUUCACUGAGUCUGGGGCAUAAAUAGUUAGGUGCCCGCAGACCAAUCAGUUCAAGAAACGUUAGGCCAUGCUUGACCAUUCCUGAAGUGUGCAGUGCAGAGCAUGCCAAACCAUCAGGCAAGCACUUUCUCAAUGAAAGCAACACCAAAUCUAAUCAAUAUAGCUGCAUUUAACCAAAGCAAAGUAUAGACCACUUCAAAUAUAGGAAAUAUCUGUCUCUACGCCCACCAAAAGUACUUGAACUGUUCUGUUCAAGUACAGGAAGAGUGGAACCAUGUGGAACAAAAGAACAGGCAAUUUCUUGACAAUCCGAGGAGACAUAACAUAAGUCAGUAGGGCAUUCAUUCAUGAAAGCAUGUGUCUUAUAAAAUAUGAAACAAAAUUAGCUGCACAAACCAUUUCAAGAAUAAAGAGUGCAUCAUAAUCAUAAUAUACAAAAUUCGGAAUGAGAUUCAACAAGUUACUUCUGAUGCAGCACUUAGGGUUCUUUUUCUCAGAAAAAAUACAGAGGUCACAAAAUUGAGUACAUUAGAAUAUUGAAGAACAAGAGAUCCAAACGUCACAUGGCCGGCGGACAGCUAGAAAAGGAACAUGGAGGGGACGCCAAUUGAAGCUAGAAUUCGGCCAGUGAUGCAACAGCCUACCUCUAAAUAACCACGUGAUGGCAAAUGAUUCACCCGAAAAUUCAAACAGGAAAAGAAACGGAGGGGACGGGGGAAGAAUUCCGAGGGUGUUGGACCUCGAAACAGGAACGAAUUUCCAACGACGAACAACAUUGCAAACAUCUGGCAAUCAAUACAGCAUAAGUGGUUACUGGCUCCAUCAGACCGGCCCUUGCAGGGUAUAAUUGGGGUUGCGAUUUCAAUUCGCAAAUUGAACGGAAGAGUGCGCUUGGAACUGUCGAAGUGAAUUACAACCAUACGGGCCGCGUUGCGCGCGGAGGGAGAGGGGAGGAGCGCGAAGUACCUGCUGCGAGCCGCCGCGGUCGCCGGGGACGCGGUCGAGGAGGGACCAGUCGACGCGGGCGACGUGGUCGAUCAGCGCCGAGAGCUGGAGCCCCAGCACCGCGGGCGCCGCCGCCGCCGCCGCCUCCCAGCCGGGCCGGAGGGAGGACGGAGGCUGCUGCGGGUGCUCUGCCUCGGCGCCCAUAUGGGUCGGUCCAGGUGAAUUGGCCGGUCUCCCUCCGCUGGCCCUCUCCUCGAGCGGAGGAGGAGGAGGAAACGGUCGCCGGCGCCGGCGGUGCGGGGGGCUGCUGGGCCCGUGUCGGGAGCAGAUGGGAUUGCAAAGCCUCCAAGGGGAGGGCUUCUUCGCCGCCGUUUUAUAGGAGGUGGAAGAGGGGGCAACCUUCUUCGGCACUGUUCAUCACUGCCCUUGCACGGAUCUCGAUGCAUCUUGCUCGAUUACGUGGAUUAUUGUCUCCGUCAUUAAUCACCUCAUUAUUAUUAUUAUUGACUUAUUUUCGAUGGGUGAUGCAUGGAGUAUGUACCACUACCACACCACGACUUACACAACCGCGCCGGCGCACCUACUGUAUAACAUGAGUCUAUUUUAAGAAAACGUUUCAUGGAUUAUUUUUAAAAAACAUGGAUUAUUUAUUCAUGUGUAUGUCAAAUUAUGGGCACCGAGAUUCAAACCAAAAACAUUCCAAUCAUUUCAUGAUGAUUUUAUUGUGUCUCAAGGAGUUACGUGUCUCAGAUAGACGACAUAGUACUGGGUCAUGCCUAUCCACUAUGGAUUAAACCCUAUAUGACUCUUUGUGUGUCUCAUUAAUCACUAGUAUGGUUAUUUAUCUACAUAAUAGAUGAUGUACCCAUCGGCAAAAGACUGGACUAUGUGUUUUAUGAAAUUUUACCAAAAUACAAUGAUCUACCACCCCAUUGAUGUUUAAGUCUUUAUAUGGAAUGAUACUUUGGUGUUAUAUUGACGGAUGCCCACUUCAAAAGAAUCUUUGGCUCUGCUCCUGUAGCGAAGUGAUUCCAGUGACUUCGUCUAGUCUCUCGUAAGCAUUUGUAUGAGUAAGCAUUUGUAUGAGUAGGGUACAUUAAUGAAAUAUAAAGUACGUACCCUCUCUGUUCCAAAUUAUAAGUUAUUUUUAUUUUUUUAAAAUUUAUAGAUUUUGCUAUGCACCUAUAUAUAUAUUGUGCUUUGAUAUAAACAUAUAAAACCUAAAAUGAUCUAUAAUUUAGGAUAAAAGGAGCACCUAGGAUUCGAUACCUAGUGAGUAGAAGGUACAGUCAACUCCGCUAGCCAUGCAAAGCAACACUUGACUCUUCCAUAUUUCUGAAUUAUAAUUGUAUGAAAUUAUGUGGCUAGGUACAGAUCCAUCCAUGGCUUCUCCAAUUAUACAUUUUGUGCAAGUGUGCAUACAAUUCGUGAUUGCGGGUUAUGGCCUAGGAACCACCUUUUUCACCCUGCGGGUAAAUGACGAUAGUAAGACUGCACUGGUCAAAGUUUAAAACCGUCACUAAAUUGGUACAGAUAUAUGGAACGUAUAUGAUGCAAACCAUCUAUCCCGUGCAGCCUUGGAAACUAUGAAUCAAGAUCACAAGAUGCUAAUCCAAUGGAUAGGAUUAGUAGUGGGGUUAUUUUGCAGUUAAGCCCCUUCACCCGCUGGCCACUUUUGAUGCAGCACCUUUUCCAUGAUAUGCAAAAUUAAACCUAAUUAAUUCAUAAUUAGCACAUGUUUACUGUAGCAUCACAUGGGCUAAUCAUGAACUAAUUAAGCUUAAUAGAUUCAUCUCAUGAAUUAACCCUCAUUUUUAUCAUUAGAUUAUAUUUAAUACUUCUAAUUAGUGUGCAAACAUCCGAUGUGAUAUGGAUUAAAGUUUAGUUGGGGUAUCAAGCACCCCCUAACUUGCACAUUGGAGCGACAUCUCGGAUCUUUCACCCAUCAUUCACGCUAGCUACUAGUAGUAUUUUGUUGCAAUAAUAAUACUCCCUCUAACAGCCGUUCGUUCUUUAGGCUAGUGGCGCAUAUUCAGUCUGACGAAGAAACCCCUUUUCUUUUCUUUUUUCGCGGGUAAAACCCCUUUUCUUUUGUAUCGUAGUGCUCUGUUUUCCUUUCCUUCGUAGUGCUUUGUUGUUCUUUUGAAUCACCGGAGCACACAUGCACACACACACAAAACAAAACAAAACAAAAAAGAAAAAAGGAAAAAAAAACUAUGAUGGCACGGUGCAGUUGCGCUGCAAAUUUGGGUCCCUGCAACUUUUGCUUAAAGAAGGCACAAGGGAACAAAAGGUGCCGGCUGAAAAUGAGAAUGACAAAGUGAUUAGGAUAUGAUUAUAAAGUUGACGGAGGCCGCGCCUCUGUGGUUGCUCCAGUGCUUCGUGGAGUUCAGAGGAAAUAACCGGUCGUUGCCGUUCGUGCGUCCGAUUUGGCUCGCGUCAGCUGGCCAACGAGGCAGCGAUCUCCGUCUCGCGCAGUCGCGCGGUAGAGCCACUGGCAUUCGCCAUUCGCUCGCGCUGCCGGUUGGCCAUUGACUCGCGUCAGCUCCCGUCAAGGAGGUCAAGAACAGCCUAGCAGCGGCCGAUCCGAUUGAUCCACGGGAAUUUUCUCGGCAGCUUCCCGUUCCGGCAGACGGGGACAAAUCCGUCGGCCGGCUCGGUGUGGUACCCAGCUUCCGUCAGGUACAGUACACAAGUGGGUGACACGAUUUGCGCGUGCCAGGAAACUACACGUAUGGGGGUGGUGAAGCCGUGGUAAUAAAUUGAGGACAAAUCAAUCACAGUCACGUAGAUGUUCCACUCGGUUAAUUAUUGUACCAGUACCGUAUACCAGGUCGCACGCUGGGAGAAGAGAAAAUUCCUUAUAUGCCAUCAGAAAUUAUACCCAUCCUUUUGAUACUAUAAAAAACUAGUAGCUAGGUGCCACUGCCCACUGCCAUUAAUUUUUCUUGGAGCUCACCGGUCGCCGUUACGGCACACUUGUAGCUCUGGUUCCAAUUGAACCGCAUAGCGUUGAGCUCGGUAUAUGUAAAGAAAAGAAAAAUCGUUGGCCGCUACCUCCAGUUCUCCUUCUCUCCCUCUUUCCCCUUGCAGGUACUGGAGUACCACUGCAACUGCUCGAAUCAACAGCUGCCGCUAGCCCAGUAGCCAAAUCUUUCAACAAAAAUGAGUUGCGCGCCCCUUCUUGAGCCUAGAUCUAGCGUCGCAACUUCCGAUUGUAGCAUAAAGGAGCUUGAUUUUGGUGACGAGGGUCUCGUUUGUGGCGGCGUCUACUCCUCUACUACUUGCGCACCUCCAUGGCCGCCGUCUCAUGUAGCCAUCUGCUGGUGUGCUACUUCCCUCUGCUGCUGCACUCCCUUCCUCCUCUACUGCUCGCUGCUGCAUGCCCCACCUCCGUGUUCCUGCCCGCUGCAGAGGGUGGCGUUGGGGGCGGUUGGACAGAUAGGGCGUGUCGAAUCGGGCCGCUAGGUGCAGCAGACCAGGUGGGCGCCGGCGCGCCGUCCAGCGGUUGAAGGGAGGGUCACAUGAUGAUUUUUUCUUUUCCUUUUUCUCCCCAAGUUUUGAUCUUUAUUAUAUGCAUAUAGAUGAUUACACACUUUAUCCAUCUAUAUUCUUAUUAAAUUUUUUUCAUGCACGUUUAGAUAGUGUUUGGUUCAGCAAAAUGUAAUGUAACCUAUCUACACUGUUAAUUGAUUACGUUAUAUCUUGUUUGUUUCACCGCCGCCUGUAAACGAGUCCCACGUAAUCAGAUACCGGCCAAUAGAAAUCUGAUACCCCUCCUUCUCCCCCGUAACGAGAUAUCAGUUCUCUUUCCUAGGAAAAGUGAGCUUUGUGCAUGAUGUAUUAAUCGAUACCGUUGCAUCCGCUGUAGAACCAAACAAAACAGGGAAACAGUGAUCUCACUGCCAAUGGCAGUGUAAUCCAUUUCCCGUACCGUUUGUGUUACCAGAUGGUGAAACAAACACUAUCUUAGUGUGCUGAACCAGCCAAAUGGUCCUACCAUUACAGCACUAAUCACGUCACUUGCCAUGAUUAGUGACAUUGAUGUGUGGAGCCUUUGCUACGAGGUGAGCAGGCAGCACGUGCACUAUGGCCACGAUUAUGUCCGUAAUCACAUGCCCUUCUCUUUAUCUCCUUUCACAUGGAGACGACGGGGCCUCUCCGAUCGCUUGGAAAAAGGAUGAAUUUAACAUCACUAGGAUGGAAAAGCUUACAAAUACAUGGGCGAUCUCGAUAAAUGGUUAAACCUGAGUUGUAUGCAAAAUGUUUACACCCAAAUGUCCGUCACUUACAGAGUGCUAUGCCUAUGCCAAAAAUGGUUAAAUUAUCUAGCAAAGGUUGUGCCUAAAAAGCUCGCAAGCCGACACGGCGGGGAGUAUCUGAUUGGGAAUCGUGGGAUCCAGGCCGCCCAAUGGCGGGACGACAGCUUAGCCCCCGUCCAAGCACAUGGCCCCCGCGGACAGUGACGAGUGACCACCCAGAUAGAUACUCUGCGCGCGCUCCAGCGUCCGGCCCAGGCCCAAUUCAUGCAUGCUAGCACACCACUUGAGUAUAGUAGCCCUGCUGCAGCAGCAGCUAUGCUGUGGUAGGAUGACACAACUGCUCGUCUGCUCCUCCCGUUCACGAGUAGCAAAGCAUGUCGCAGUGUCGCAGUGUUUUCAAAAAAAAAAAAAAGCAUGUCGCAGUGUCAUGUUGGCGUGCCGCUGGGAUUUGUUCGUCAGAAUACCAGACCACGAGAGAAAGAAAAGGAGAGGAGAGGAGGCAUGAAUCAUGGUGAUGCAUACUCGCCCCCCCCCCCCCCCCUCUCUCUCUCUUAGCCCUUCCUCUAAAGUGUGUUCCAAUAGGCAUUUGAGAAAUGGCAAUCCGACGUGGCAAACGGCUAGGUGCUGUUAACUGGGCCCUGGUGGCGGCGGGUGCACAUGAUGAUGGAAAAGGGGCACCACGCCUGGCCGAAUACGACGAGCGGUAGUAGCUCCCAGCCUCGCGGCAGGCGCAGGCGCAGGCGCAUCUCAUGGCUACUGCCGGCGAAAACAAACAGAGCAAGAUGCCCCGUACGUGACGGAGUGAGCGAGUGACAUCAAUCAGCCGGAGUAGGCGCGUGACAGCCGGUGAGAAGGGGACGGGAGGAAGACCGAAGACGCACUCCGAAAAACACGUGAACGAGAGGGGGUUUCUGGGCGGCUUUUGUUUGUUCCGGCUGGACGGCCGGCGGCCGGGGCUCCACCGGCCGAAAGUGACAAACCGGCGAUCCGAGAAUGAUACUCGGUGCCCCCACGCGCGCAUGAUUGCGUCUUGUUUCUUAAAGAUUUUGCCUGCUGCUGUGGCUCCUCGUCACGGCAAUGGUUCGACGGCAAAGGUCCCGUUGCCCCGAGACGAUCGUGCAACGGCUCGCAAAAUCGCAGUGCGCGCGGCGCAGGCCGGAGCACUUUUUCUUUCUUUUCUCCGUUUCUUUUCCUUUUCUUUUUCCAACGAACCGCUGAGCAGGCGAGCACGAACUGCUACUGUGUGAGGCAGUGAGGGCUAGUGUAGGCUAGCUGAACAACAAACAAAUGGACCGAGCCAACAACAAGGCCGGAAUUUGAUGCGCCUGCCAGCCUACACCCGUAGGCUAGCUCCUCUGCGGCGGCACUGCGUGUGGCAGGUAGUGCUGGGGGACGGUGGUGACUGGUGAGUAGCGCCCACCGCAGCAUCCAUGCGUUCCUCUCGUCUCUCUCGCGCAUCCGGCCGAGCCGGCAGCGCAGCGGCCUCACACGCAAGUGGAUCGUCUGGUCGACACGGCACCGCGCGGCGGCGGGGCCCGCUCGCAGUAGCAGCCCACGGCCCACGCGCAAUAUUGUUUGUAGCAGAUGAAAACUCUCGUUGACGUAGGGCAUUGACCUCCCAACCGGUCCGCCGGCAUCGAUUCGUGAUCGAUCCACAGUUCCACACACUCUCUCGGAGUCUCCCGCAAGCGCUUUCAUGUAUCGCCCGGAAGAGCAUUCCAGCACGCAGCAGCAGGCCGGCAGCACUAGUCCAGCAGAGGAGAAGUACCGGGCCGCGGACCGAUUUUGAUCUGGGCCUUUCACUAGGGUUAGCUUGAGCAGCCCACGACGGUCCAGAGCUUACUUCCUGUCUGGCCCAAGGUCCAGAGGAUUCACAGAUUUGAUCUGGGCCUCUUGAGGCUAAAGAAGGUCAGCUCAGCCCACGCUUCAGAACUUCCUUCCUUGCCUGCGCAGUAAUUUUGUUGUGAGCGGCCGUUUAAAACAGAAAAAGAACAGCCCAGUCCAUAGGCAGUAUUGGGCUAUCUAUUUCGGCCUAGGUCUCUUCUCACAUCGGCUCUUUUUUGGGCCAGUCCAUAUUGCGUCAGAAGGUUAACUGGGAAUUACUGUAUGUGCGUUUUCGUUUCUUUUUGCAUGGCCCCAUUCAAACGAGAAUCAGUUCAUACAUGACACAACAGCACAACAUUACAAAAAUUUUCUUGAUUUGGAUUGGAAGUUGUGUGCAAAUGGAAGCAAAACCAUAUGAUCCGUUACCUUAAAUUAGUGUUGUUGACGGACUGUGUCAAAUUGUUGAUUCAGAUUAGUUUUUUUUUCUAAGUCUAGAUUCUAAAAGGCAAACUUCUAUGUAAAUAUGAUGCUAGAAGUCAUUUUGCACAGAGCGUAGAAGUCAAGUUGAACAUAAGCUACUUCAAUUCGUGUAAAUUGGAUGCUUGGAAUCAAUUUGAGCAUAGCCUAUUUUCUAGAUAAAAAUAGCAAUAAGUUAAUUGUAACAUAAGCUAUUUUAAACUGUGCAAAUUGGAUGCUGGAAAUUAGAGCAUAUUUUUUUUAUAAAAUAGCUAGGAAUCAAUUUGAGAGUAAGCUAUUUUAUAGAUAAACCAAUACAGGAGUUGUAACAAUAUGUUUAAUAAAUGAGUUGUUAGUUAGACUUCAUAUUCCCUAUCCAAUGGAAAGGUUGGAUGGCUUCUUAUGUUGGAGAAGAGAAAAGGAGCAUCGCACUAACACACAAUUGGCAAUAAAGGGCUAGUGACGCCAAGGGAGGAGCACCUCAACAAUUGCCUACAUGCGCACCUGAUAUUUUCCGUACUAGUCCAUCAACCCAUGCAUCCACAUGAGUUUUAAACCUUCUUACUUGCAAACAAAAGAAAAUUAUACUCUCAUGAUAAAAAACAAUAGCCUGUCUGACAAAUGGAUGAAAAGUUAAAAUUCGGCACUGUUUAUAAUGUUUUAUGUUUUGAGCAUCAUGCAAUUUUCUUAUUACAACUUUAUUUGAGAACAUUUUCAUUCAAUAAGUAGUUAUUUGAACUUCAAUCAUCAGAAGCUCUUUUUUAAUGUAAUGUACCUCCCUACGAUACUUAUAUUCCUAGGAAAAGAGAAGAGCUCGAAGAAUUACACUGCGAAUAUUAUUCAGUAGUGUAACCCCAUCCCGUGAUGUCAUCCCUUAACCACCAUGCAAACCACCUUUCGUGCAGGCUCUGCUUAUAACAUAGGUGGUCGUGUCAGCUUCAAUUGAGGACGACAUGACAUGGGUGUGUCUAAUCAGCAUGCGCGCCAGCAACGAAUGCAACCAUCGAUUUCCGACAAAGCGAGUUUCCCUGCCUUCGCGCGCGAUGACUUUCCGCACAUGCGCCCUAGACAUGGUUCCACCAGCGGUCACCCACUAUCCCCACGCCUAUCCAGCAGUGACCCCGACGCAUUUCUCUCUGUAACACAACUUUUGUAUAUAAUUUAUACACAUAAAUUUAUAUAAGACAAAAGUUAUGCACACAACAUUAAAGAAAACACAUUAAAACACACAAAAUAUAUGCAAACGUAUAUACAACAAAUUAUGUUGAAAACUUAUGCUAAAUAUAAUCAUAUAACAAACUUAUAGACAUAACUUUUUGCAAAAAAAAUAAUCAAUAUAACUUAUGAAAAAAAGAAAAACUUAUGAAAAUGUAUUUAUAUAUAUAAAUUAUAUGCAUAACUUUUCCAAAUUUAUCGAAUAAAAAAACAAGGAAGAAAAGAAAAAAAGAGGUUAACCGGCCUCGCCGGUGCUGGGUCACCAGUGCCGCGUCAUUGCCUCCCUGGAUUCACCCUCCCGCAAUGGGCAGGUGUCCUGUGGCGAAGAGGAAGAGGAAGCGCCACCGUCGCACCCUCCGGAGCCACUGCCGCAGCUCUACUUAUCGGAAGCACACGUCAGUCCUCAUCUCGCCGGCCACCACCGAACGCGAGGCUUCCGGAUCCGACCUCCUCUUCGGCGGCACGCGACGUGAGGAGCUCGAGCUGCCUGGUGACGAAGGGGAAUGGGAAGGGGAGUCCGCAUGGUUGCCACGCGCGGAGCUCGCAGCGGCUCCUCCCGAACCUGACAUGAUUUCAUAGAGGAGAGCGAAGAAAACAAACCCUAGUAUCCCGUUUCUAUCAUAGGGGCGGCGUACAAAUGGAUUUACCUGAGAGUGGGUAAAGACCCGAGUAAUGCAUGGGCAUCACAAAAGGAAAAAUAGGUAUUUUGAUCCCUGGACUUUGUACCGAGGGUCAACUUCGUCCCUCAACUUUCAAAUUGGUCAAUUUAGUCCCUCAACUUUUGUUUUUAUUUCAAACUCGUUCUUGUAUUGAUAUGUGGCUCCGUAUUGGCAUGAAACUAAUACGAAAAGUCCUUUUUACCUUGACUCUUUUCUCUCUUUAUUUUUCGCCUUUAGAACUACAAUAACGUGUAUAUUUGCCGAGGAACUAUGAGGAUGCAUAUAUUUACCAUGAGGAUGCAUAUAUUUACCGAGGAACUAUGAAUAUAUACAUGGAGCAUGUAUAACACACCACGAGUGUGUGAGCACAUGUUGAUUUUAGAGCAUGCGUACACACAUUAAGUUGUAUAUAUACUAAAAGAAUAUGAUUAAAUACUUGUUUGAGUAUAGACAUAUCGAAUGCGUAUGAGCACAUGAAUGACUUUAAAGAUUACGAGUAGAUACACUUUUUAGAAACCAUAUUUUGUGUUAGUUUAAAAAAUAUAUUAUUGUGUGUAUGUAUUAAGGGAGUAUGAGCACAUACAUGUUUGAUCUACAUGUUCAUGGGCAAACGGGAUAUUUUCGCAUUAGGCUUAUGCUAACAUAGAAUACUAUAUUAGCACAAGGAUUUGUUUGACCCAAAAAUGAAUGUCAAUAUGAAAGUUGAGGGACGAACUUGAUCCCGUAAAAUUUAAGGAUAAAGUGGCUAUUUUGCCUAAAAGAAAUAUUAAUGAUCAAAUUACGCAUUGGUUGCACAUGCGAUACAACCUAAACGAUUUUUGUUGUCAGUUCGUAACCUGAGACGGUAUUCUCUGACCGCAGGCACGGAACCAUAACCAUCGAGCAGGAGCAGGAUAGAAUCCUGAAUUUGGCGAGGACGGCAACGCCGCAACGGCAUAUGCCAACGGCGAGACCCAUCACUUUCUCAUCCGGUUAUCCCCCGCGCUCGAUCUGGCUGGCUGCUGGCCUGCUGCUUGAACGGAACGCCCACCAAGCAGCAAGUAAACGGCACCGACUCCCAACCGGAAGAGCCGAGCCGAGCCAAGUCUCCUCCUCGUCUCCUCCCCAACCUCCUCCCCUCCCCUCCCGUUCCCGACUCGACCCCCCUCGCCUCUGACCCAGCAGGCUAGGGUUCCGCCCCCACCCCACCCGACCCCACCCCGAUCCGAUCCCAUGGACGGCGGCGACUCCUCCGCCGCCGGCGCCGGCGGCGCCGUGGCCGCGGCGGCCAAGUGGCGGAGCGACGCGUCGCGGGCGUUCCAGUACUACCUGGACCGCUCGACGCCGCACGCCACGGGGCGGUGGCUAGGGACGCUCGCCGCCGCCGCCAUCUACGCUCUGCGGGUCUACAUGGUGCAGGGCUUCUACAUCGUCACCUACGGCCUCGGGAUCUACCUCCUCAACCUCCUCAUCGGCUUCCUCUCCCCCAUGGUCGACCCCGAGCUCGAUCCCUCCGCCGCCGCCGAGGGGCCGGCGCUGCCCACCAGGGGAUCCGACGAGUUCAAACCCUUCAUCAGGCGCCUCCCCGAGUUCAAGUUCUGGUCAGAUCCCGCCUCCCCUCCCCCAGAUCUGUUUCCGCUCCUCGCCAGAUCCGCGUUUUUUUAUUUCUUAUUACUGCACCUGCUCCGGCAAUUCGCUACUUGCCCGUAUGUAUUUGCCCACUGGAACGGGGCGAUCGGGUCGGUUAGAUAGCUACUUGACAGCUUCUCGUAAUUUAUAUAGAGCCGUGUUAAUCGGCAUUUUCAAAACCGAUUAGUUUCCUUUACUACUCAAGUUACUAUUUCUCAGCUACUGCUGAUCCCCCUCCACAGUAAAUAGGCAUUUUUCUCGACCGUCUGUGGCAACCCACUGCCCUCCAGGUUCUUCCACUGAAUCAAUCAAUGGAAGACAUCGUGCAGUUCAUUCGGUUGAUGAGAAACUGGCAGGAGAAAACUUUUAGCUUGUAGAGCACAAAUCCUGGAGUGUGUGUGAUCUAUCAACAAUUGCUUUAGUCAUAGAAGAAAAGGGUUGCAAAAUUUUUCUGUUGGGAAGUUCGUGUGUCACCUGAUUAUGGUUGUUUAGUUCCAAGUCAGCUGACCAUGCAUUUAGUUGCACAAUCAUUGUCAAUCAGUGCUUAUUUGUGCUGCAUACUGAUUUGCAUAUCCUCCAGCAACCCGAAAACCAAGCAUUGUUGCAUAUUGGUUACCUCUUAAACUACAAUCAGUUCCUGAAUAAAUCACUCAAGGCAUGUUGCAUCCCUUCAAUUCCACCAUACCGUUUGGAAUUCCAGUGGAUGAAAAUGAUAUAAACAUACUCUAAUGAUGUUGUUGCACCACCAUGUAGCAGAGAAAAUUGUCACUUAUUGCUUCUGGUCCUCCCAGUUGAAGCGGACCGUCAGGUAGGUGGCAAUAUCGUUGUAUGCAAUGCCCAUGUGCUUGGUAACAGGGGGUUUCUUCGUUGAAACUAGAAUUAUUCUGAAGCGCCUUCGUUUUAGUUAAAAUAUAUCUGCUUUAAAUGGUGUCUAUCUGGAUUAAUCGGAAUUUCUGAAAUUUUUGGUGAAAUCGUUGUGAGGAGUUCUCUUUCUUUUCUCUUUGUUAAUUUGUCUGGGUCACCAUCACUUGUGGUCUCUGAUCUGCCUGGUGCAUAAUCCAUAUUUUUCUUUUUCCAAAAGGUAGCCAGACAAUAGCUUUUCAAUUUCCUGAUUAUUGCACAUUCAAGAACCUGAAAUCUCUCUCAUUGCCUAGUUACUCAACUACCCCUGAGCCUUUGUAGAUUGGUGAUUAUGUCUGUCUAGGCAAUUAGGCAUUGCCCAUGUGCUUGGUGCGGUGUUUUAAGUUAUACCUUGUCUUUAUCCUCGAUGUCAUUGCAUGUGGGAUGGUUUUGUGGAAAUCUCUCUAGCUACAUCUACAUCUACAUGGGAUGGAUUUACUGUAUAGCUAAAUAUGACAACUUAUAAGUUCGUAUGUAAUUUGAAUCAUUUAUAGUUUCUGUGAGCUCUAGUGGUGGAUUUCUUUUUAGACAAGUUUGAAGUGUUCUCGCUUUGGUAAGAGGUCAGAUAGAUGGAUUCUUAUGUUUUCUUUUUGAACUAAUUGUAGUUUUUGAAAUUUAUAGUAAUGCUUUUCAGAAGUUAUCUGUGAGUGGUUCAAUUUUUCAUCAAUAGUUCACCCUCACUAGUGUCGAGUAUUCUUUUCUUCAUUUUGUGCGUGUUGAGUAAACUAUUGCCAUCUGCAAGGUUUUAUUUUGGAAAUGCUAUUGGGUAGUAUGCAUAAAAAUGCAACGUAUGAAGUACUUUGACUGCUUUCUAUGUUUUCCGUACUCAAGUUUCCUCCUUUUAGGGUGUCAUUCUGAGUGUCACCCAUGUAAUGUGAAUUUAGAUGCAGCACAGCAUGCAAAAAUAUAAUGCAUGCGUAUUUGCUCAUCCAUUUUCGAGUAUUUUCUAAAAUAGUUGUUUUGUUUUGUUAAAUCUUAAUGCUGAAGAUCUUUCUUAAAGUUCCAAUCCAGUAUACCCCCCAUAACAACCAUUUCUUUGUCUUUCAGGUAUGCAAUCACAAAAGCUUUUGUUAUAGCUUUUGUGAUGACUUUCUUCUCUGUGUUUGAUGUUCCUGUCUUCUGGCCCAUACUCCUUUGCUACUGGGUUGUUCUCUUCGUCCUUACAAUGAAGCGCCAGAUUGUGCAUAUGAUCAAGUACAAAUAUGUGCCCUUCAGUAUUGGGAAGCAGGUCAGUACUACUGUUUAAACUUGUUGACUUUUGUUUAUUCGCUAAAUGGUUAUGUGCUGAAAGUCUACUGCUGUGGGUACCAAGGGGGUUGCAUGUUUAAAAACACAUGGACAGUGGGGGUUUUCUAGCAUUUUCAUUAAACACCAUCAGUUAUGGUCCCCAGAUCAAUUUUAUCUUUAUUUUGUGAUGUUCAAGAAAUGCUUGUGUAGUAGCUGCAAGUUGUUGUUAGGUGAAGUGUCAGUUUUUUUUUUCCAUUCCUCAUGAUUUGCCCUGACUGAUGCCAGAAAUAUGGUGGGAAGAAGAGCGGCUCGAGCAGCAGUUCCCCAAGAGACUGAUCCCGUACCUACCCGUAGGAAGCAUGGCAGGGGAACAAGAUACGGUGGAUGAUGAUAUUUGAUGUGCUAAAUACCAAGUGUAAUACUUCAUUCAUAUCUAGAGGUAGACGGAUAUUCGCUCCUGUUUCUGACUUGGGUUCACGGUUUAAUUCGAUAUUGCGCUUAGAAAUGCUUCCUUAUGUGCGUGUAUAGCGUGUUUCACUCUGAUAAAUUAUUUCGUUUAGUUAAGGCACCCCAUAUCUCAGGAUCCCAGAAAUAAGUGGCACGCGAAACUGUCCCAAUGGGAGGCGUGCCACUAGCUUGUCUUUGUACCAAACCGGAGCAGAAUGCCAAACUUUGAGCACUAAACUAAAAUUCAUUUGACUUUACUAUGUCUUAUAAACUUUGCAUAUUCAGAAAAUUUAUGGUCCUUCGUGUCGUUUAGAUAUUUAACGUGAAACGGUGAAAAUGUACCUCGUGUUUUGCUGUCUGGGUGACAACCGUCGUUGGUAACACAGUCCCCAAGAUGUACGCAGCGUGCGCGAUGCCCAGCGCGAGAGGAGCCUCUGCAGAAUCGUUUUCUCAGGAAGAACCAGGCAGGUCAUGUUUAGUUCCUCAAAACUUCCAACUUUCCUAACUUUGACACUAAGUAAAAAGAAGAUUUCCCAUCACAUCAAACUUGCGGUACAUGCAUGGAGUACUAAAUGUCGACGAAAUUAAAAAUUAAUUGCACAGUUUUGUUGUACUUUGCGAGACGAAUCUUUUAAACCUAAUUAGUCAAUAUUUGGAUAAUAAUUCACAAAUACAAACAAAAUGUUACAAUAUGCUACAAUACUACAAUAGUAAUUUUGCACCUUCAAACUUUGAUCAACUAGGCGCGUACUGAAACCUCGGAUCAUCAAAAGAGCAAGCAAAGUGCACAACAUGCCAAGGGACCGAGCAGACAUGACUUCAUCCAUUGGGCCAGAAUAGCAGGCGUGCAGGCAGCCCACCAAAGUGCUGCCUAGCCCAAGAAUGAUUUAUCUUCAACCUCGUUCAAUGCACGCCCUGCAUGCUCGUCGGUUCGUGUGCGGCUGCGCUAGGGGGGAUGGCAACGGGGCUAUCCCCGUCGGAGUCCGGCGGAACAUUCUGCCCCUUGAGUAAACUGUAAACUAAGGUCCCAUUUGUUUGGGCUUCUGGCCAGCUUCUGAACCGCCGAAGCUGGAAGUCCAAAUAAAGAGCAGGCUUCUCAGCGCAGCUUUUGCAAUGUUAAAAAUUCACAGAAGCUGCCGUAGCAUGGAAAGGUCGAAAGCGAGCGAAAAUGAGCUUCCGCUGGCUUCUGACGUCCCACUUCACCUUAUUUACCUGCCUGCCAUCGUGAAUAUACGCGGAUCGUUAUUUUUCUUUUCUUCCGCUCCCCCUCCCCCCGACCCAACCGGCCAACCCUAUCCACUCACGGCUCGCCUCUCGCCUGACGCCCGACGCCUCCCCUCCAUCCCCAUCUCGCCCGCCGCCUCCCCUCCAUCCCAUCGAUCCCCACGCACCCGUCGCUACUACCGUCGCGGCAUACUCCGUCCGCCGAAGGCUACCCGGGGCCGCCGCCAUCCAAGGCCUCCCGGGGCCGCCGUCGUCCAAGGCCAACCGGCGCCUCCUGUUGAAGCCGGCUCAGCCCCCUUGCUCCGCUCACCGUCCGGGCAACCCUUGAAGCCAACGACCCUACCCCUGCAGAUCUGCGCCGAGCAGCUCCACACGAGCCAGUUCCGAGGUGAGCAGCCCUUCCCCUCCUCGAUCUUGAGUUGUUCUAGCCUUGAACCAUGGAUUAGGAUUUGGAUUCACUGAUUAGGAUUUGGAUGCCUUUAACCAGUCAUUCACUGAUUAGGAUUUGGAUUCACUGAUAUAUGUUCUGAUUUUAUUCAAUUAGCUUGCAUUUCAAUUGUACAUCUCAGUAAAAUAUGAUGUAUAUUAAAGGGUUGAAUAUUUGAAGUUAAUACUACUGUUAAAGUUCAACUCAUACUUUUGGUUUGAUAAGCGACAAAACAUUGUUUGAUCUGUUAAAUAGAGGUGUCUUUAGAGGCAGAUUUGUUGAACCAAUAUUCUUAAAACUCUAGCAUUCACUGUUUGGUAGAUGAAAUGUAUGAAAUCAUGAACAAACACCUCUCUGUUUAGAUGGAGAACAAUAGAAAGGGCAAGGAAAAGAGGAAUGAAAAGGAUAAGGUCGUAUGCAAGGUAGAUUGGGAUAAUCCUGAGAUGACCACAAUAUUUUUGUAAAAUUGUUGUUGACGAGAUCCAUGCUGGGAAUAGACCCCUGGGCACUCUGAAUCGAAGAGGUUAUAAGAACUUGCGGGAGAAGUUUUUUGAGCAAACAAGGAAAAACUAUACCUAGAAACAGCUGAAGAACCGUUGGGAUAACCUCAAGAUCUUGUAUACUUUUCGGAAAUCACUAUAGACACUACUGGGGAAUUGUAGCUUUCGUCCACUGCAUUAAUGCUCAUAUUAGUACCGGGUCUAACGGAUAGUUUCUCAGGAGCCCCCCGUGACCCCUUUAGUACCGGGUGGAGCUCCCACCCGGUAGUAAAGGAGCUCCCAUCCACCUUAUCCAUGCCGCCCAGCCCGCUACCCGCUCCCAUCUUAUCUUGGCCUCCCCCUAUCUCUCUCUCUCUCUCUCUCUCUCUCUCUCUCUCUCUCUCUCUCUCUCUCAGCACCACCCCCUCCCCCUUCCUCUCCUGCUGCCGGGACCUUCUCUGCCUCCCCCCGGCUAGCUCCUCACCGGCAGUGAGGAACAGCGGUGGGGCGAGGUGAGGCGGCAGCGAGAGGCAAGUGGCAGCGAGGGGCAAGGGCGGGGCUCGGGCUCGAGCUCGGGGAGGGGGGGGGGUUGCGGCUCGGGCGGGGUGGGAUUUGUUUUUAUUUUUUAUUUUUUAAUACCCUUUUAGUACCGGUUAUUUCAACCGGUACUAAAAGCUCCCCUUUAGUACUGAACUAGCAAUAUCGGUUGCGCAACCGGUACUAAAGGGGGUUCCCAACCGGUACUGAUGGGGCUUUCCCCAGUAGUGGGAUCAAUUCUAGGCUCAGGAGGAAUCCAGAGUUGGGGAUAGUGACAACAAGUGUCCAAUGGAGGGAGGCAAACACAACGGUUAGCAAUCUAUCUUGUGUAUAUUUUUUGUAAUUCUUUGAAGUGUAUAUGUGCAAGUGACCAAUCUGUUUGUGCUCUUCUGUUGUUUGUGCAGGAACACAUGCAGAGUGACCAUAUAUUAUUGCUAACACAUGUGCGAUAUAUAGGAAAGUACUACCUUAUUGACUCGGGCUAUCCUAACCAGAAGGGUUUCCUUUCACCAUACAAAGGAGAGAAGUACCAUUUACCUGAGUUUCAACAAGGUCCUAGGCCAAGAGGUAAAAAAGAAGUGUUCAAUCACUUGCACUCAUCACUACGGAAUGUGAUCGAACAGUCCUUUGGUGUUCUGAAAAUGAAGUGGAGAAUACUAUUGAAGUUGCCUAGUUAUCCAAUGGAAAAGCAAAUAAGGAUUAUAAUGCAUGUAUGGCGCUACACAACUUUAUUAGAGAGAGUGCUUUGAGUGAUGAGCAUUUUGACAUGUGUGAUCAAAAUGAAGACUUUGUUCCAAGUGUUGGUGAAUCAUCAUCCUCUCAGCCGCAAGCAAAUGGACAAGAGGAGAGUGACAUGAAUGCUUUUCGUGAUAGUAUUGCCGAUGCUUUGAUUGCAAGACUAGUGUAAUAUGUACUCAAGAUGUGUCCUAAUUAUAAUUUAUGACUUCACAUGUACUUCAAAAUUAAUGGAUAAUGACCGAUGCAAUUUAUUAGAAUUGUACUAAAAAAAUCUCUAGUAAUAGUUUACAACAAAAUUACAAAUAAUACAGACACAUAGGAAAUACAUGUUGUUGUACACCUCCUCAGCAUAUACAUCCUCAGAGAAGCUAGGUUGCCAAACGCCUCAGCUUUGGGAAAAUCUAGCUUUCAGAAAGCCACCCUUCCAAGAGCAAAAGACAAAAGCUAGCUUUUAGGAAAGUUGCAGCUCAAACAAACAACAAAUAGGUGUAAAUCACCUCGCUCCCCAUCCCCGACAUUGCACACAGGGGCAAUUUUCCCACAUCCCCGUCCCCGUUCCCUAGCGGGGAUUAGACCCCCAACGGGGAUCCCAACCUUGAAAAAUCCCCGAUAUUCGUAGCUAUUGAUUUCUUUCUCUGUUCAAUCUUAGUAUGCAAAGAAAACUUUGAAAGAAACAUCCCAAGGAUUAUGGAAAAACAAAACACAGAUCAAUCGCACAACCAUAUAUACAUCUAUUAUCUAUACAAUUUGCUAGCCUUCUCAGUUCUCACGGAGCAAACAAAAGGAAUAAGAAAAUCCCUGCAAUCUUCACGUUGUCCUCUGAUUGCCUUUAAGACUCACCGUGGCAAGGCAAUAAAUGUCAAUCAUUCACCGUGCAAGGGUGAAGGGUUCACUGUGUGGCGAGAGCAUGCAACUGCGACCUGCGCGGAGAUCGACAGAUCUUCACUUCUGCCAGCACUGGCUCGGUGGAGGUGUUGUAGGAUUCGGAGGAAGCGGACAGGUUAGAAGCCGCAAGGAUGUCCUAGCGGACGGAUUAGAGGCCACGAGGAUGUCCCGGCCGUAAAAAUCAGAGGGGCUGUGGAAGGUUGAACCUUUAGGACCACACCUUUAUUUAUAUAGGUGAUAAGAACCAUCAUCGUGGCAUGUACAAGAUCAGCCGGCGGCCAGCCAUGAGUUUAUUGGUAAUCUAAACUAACCCUAGAUUACAUACAACAACCUUCAAGAUAUACAUCAGGCUAACAACAAACUAUGGUCGGCCACCUAACUUGAGUGACACGUUGCAUUGUUUAACAACCCCCUCAAUCACAGCUUUCCUAAGCUUUCCUAAGUUGAGAUUGUACUUGAAGUUCUCCAAUUGUCUGACCGGGAGAGUCUUCGUAAAUCCAUCUACCACUUGAUCACCUGACGGAACAAAGUCAACUUCCAAGAGUUUUCUGGCGACCCAUUCCUUGACAAAGCCAUAGUCAACUUCAAUGUGCUUCAUUCUUGCAUAGAAGGCAAGAUUAGAAUUAAGAUAUUUAGCACCCAUAUUAUCACACCAAAUUCGUGCCAUUGGAGGACUCUGAAUGUGCAGUUGCUUCAAAAGAGUUUGCACCCACAUAACUUCAGCAGUAGCAUUAGCAAUGGAUUUAUACUCUGCUUCUGUACUUGACCUGGACACAAUUGCUUGUUUCUUAGCAUUCCAUGACACAAGAUUAUCUCCCAAGAAAAUAGAAAAUGCUCCUGUUGAUCUUCUAUCAUCUAGGCAUCCUACCCAAUCUGCAUCUGUAUAUGCACUUACCAGCAUGGAUGUAGACUUACACAACUUUAAACCGAGCUUGGAACAGGAUUUAAGGUACCUUAAUAUUCUUUUUUACAGCCACCCAGUGAACAAUUGUUGGAGCAUGUAGGAAUUGGCACACCUUGUUUACGGGGAAAGCAAUAUCAGGCCUGGUCAAUGUCAGAUAUUGGAGAGCACCUACCACACUUCUAUACUGAGUAGAAUCAUCUAGUCCCAAAGGAACUCCCUCAUGUAUUGAUAGCUUUUCACUAGUAGACAACGGUGUGCUUACCGGCUUGUAGUCUCCCAUACCAACCUUACCUUCUUUAGGAGAUCCAAGACAUAUUUUUGUGUUAAGAGAAUUCCAUUGUGUAACUUGUGUACCUCUAUACCAAGAAAAUAGUGUAGAUCACCAAGGUCCUUUAGAGCAAAGUCCUUCUGAAGAUCCAGUAAGAGAGUCGAGACAGCUUCCGGUUUGGAGCUCACUACAAUUAUGUCAUCAACAUAAAUAAGGACAAAUAUCACAACACUCCCUUGAUAAUAGAAAAACAAAGUGGUUUUUGCUUUAGAACCUUUAAAACCAAGAUCACACAGUCUCUUACUCAAGCGAGAGUACCACUCUCGGGGUUCUUGCUUCAGUCCGUAGAGUGCUUUAUCUAAUUUACACACAUAGUUUGGACAUGUCUUAUCCUCAUAUCUAGGUGGCUGCUUCAUGUAGACUUCUACUUCAAGGACACCAUGAAGGAAGGCAUUUUGUACAUCUAGUUGUCGAAGAGUCCAACCCCUGAAAAUAGCAAUAGAGAGAAUAAUCCUAAUAGUAGCUGCCUUUACUACAGGACUAAAGGUGUCUUCGUAAUCUAUUCCAUAUCUUUGCUUGAAUCCCUUUGCAAUCAGUCUAGCUUUAUAUCUAUCCAAGCUGGCAUCUUGUUUUCACUUGAUUUUAUAAACCCACUUACAAUCUAUGACAUUCCUACCUUUUUGAGGUGGAACAAGGUGCCAGGUUGCAUUCUUUUGCAGGGUCAUAAAUUCACUAUCCAUUGCACUUUUCCAAUUAUUAUCUUGCAAGGCAUUUUCUAAAUUAUAUGGCUCACCAGUUGCUGUAAGAAAACUGAACUUAUUGCUGUAUUUAAUGGUACCAUCAGUGUAAGUUUUCUCCUUACGAAUACCACUUUGUAGGCGUGUCUUCAGUCUUGUGUUCCCCUUGCCGAAGAGACCACAGGGGAUCCGGGCUCCAGAGUCGAGGCAGAUUCGCGAGGAGGCAGCGCAGGGGAAGAUUCACCUCCAGGCAGGGUGGAGCCGGUGGCAGUGUGAUGUGUGGCGGGAAGGACGCCAUCGUCCGCGCGCUCCCCAGUCGUCGGGCGCAUGGCUGGUGGAGGCUGGGCGACGUGGAAGGGGGCACUGCCGGAUGUCCCCGGAGCUCCGGACACGGUGCACGUGUCAGCUGGCGACGGGUGCACCAGUGGGGGAUCCACCCUAGCAGAGCCUGUUGAGCCUGGUUUAGUGCAGGGAGCAUAUCCCGAAGAAGAUGUUAGUGCAGGAGGAUCUGCUUCGAUUUUCGUGCCCAGACCUGUAUUCUCAGUAUUUGAUGUAGGAAGCUCCUGAAAAGCACCGGUUUCUUCACAAAAAUCAUUAGCAGAUAAAUUAGGGAAAUUAGUCACAUGAUUACUCAGUUGCGGGGCACCAUUGCCUAGAGUAUUUGGAUUUAAAAGAGAUGGAUCUAGAAAAGAAAUUUUUGUUUGUAAUCGCCUGCUUGUAUUGGAGUGGAGUUUAGAGAAAGGAAAUAUGGAUUCAUCAAAACGACAUCUCUAGAGAUAUAUACCCGACCAGAUGAAGGAUCAAGGCACUUAAACCUUUGUGCAAGCUGCUGUAACCCAAGAAAGUGCAUUGUGUAGAUCGAAAUUGAAGUUUCUGAGAGUUGUAGGGGCGUAGGUUGUGCCAACAUGCACAACCAAAGACUCGUAGAGAUGUGUAAUGUGGUUUCGGACGGAAUAGAUGCUCUAGGGGUGUUUCAUGCUGAAUAACUCGACUAGGAAUUCUGUUGAUUAGAUAGACAGCGGAGAGAAAAGCAUCACCCCAAAAUUUGAGCGGCAUGGAUGCAUAGGCUAGAAGAGCAAUAGCUACUUCUACAAUAUGGCAAUGCUUUCUUUCAGCGGAUCCAUUUUGUUGAUGCGCAUGAGGACAUGAGACAUGGUGUGUGAUGCCAAUUUGUGUAAAAAAUAAGUUUAAUUUUUUUGAUACUCCUUUCCCGAGUCAGUUUGCAUGGCAAUGAUCUUUCUAUCAAAAAAUCUUUCGACCAGAUUUUUAAACUCAUGAAUUCUUUGGAACACAUCAGAUUUGAACUUCAAAAGAUAGAUCCAGAUAAACUUCCUGUAAUCAUCAAUAAAACUAAUAGAAUAUUUUUGUCCUCCAACUGAAUUGGGUGCAGGGCCCCAUACAUCAGAAAAGACAAGUUUCAAAGGAUGAGAGGAAACACUAGAAGACUUGGGAUAGGGUAAUUGAUGGCUCUUGGCCAUUUGACAAGCACCACACACUGAUUGUUUAUUCAAAUCAAAAGAACAAGGAAGAUUAAAACUACUGAUAACUUUCUCCACAACUGGGAGAGAUGGAUGCCCAAGGAAACUAUGCCAUUGCUCAUCAGAUGGCCUAACAACUCCAAAGGCUUGCUUUAUUGAAUGUGUAGACAGCAGGGGAUACAAUUCUUUAUGGCAGCUCCCUCUAAGAAGAUUUUUCCUCGUGGCCUGAUCCUUGAUCAAAAAGAAAUCAGGGUGAAGUUCUAGAAAGGAAGAGUUAUCAGUAGCUAAUCUAUGAAUGGAAACAAGAUUUUUACUGGCUUCAGGAACAUAGAGAACAUUUUAAGGAUGAAGAUUGUGGCUAGGGGUUUUAACAACUGAAUGACCAAUGCGACAAAUUCCCAUACCUGCUCCACUCACAGUUUGGAUAUGAUCAUUCCCCUUGUAUCGGUCAUGGACAGUGAGCUUCUCAAGAUUGGUCGCCACAUGGUCAGUGGCACCACUAUUUCUGUACAAGUUGGUGUCCACCCUAUAUGAUAUGGUUGCUAUCCCUGCAUAUCUCUCAUCAGGUAUUUCCAUCAUACCUAUGCCAGCAAUCUGUCACCAUGUGACCCUUCUUGAGGCACAGCUAGCACCUGGGCCUGCUGUCAGGAUUGCCCCUACCACCAUUGUACUGGCGAGGGGCGUUGCCGUUGCUGCGGGUGUUGUUGUUGCCGGCGGCCAGCCAUGAGUUUGUUGGUAAUCUAAACUCACUCUAGAUUACAUACAACAACAUUCAAGAUAUACAUCAGCCUAACAACAAACUAUGGCUGGCCACCUAACUUGAAUGACAUGUUACAUUGUUUAACACCAGCGUCGGCGCCAGGGAGAUUGGGGAGGGGUUGAGGCUUGAGGAGAGAGGAGAUCAAUGAACGGCCGUCGCAGUCGCGCGCUCAAGUACUCGUAUUCGCGUCGUGAGGAAAGAGGGUGGCGGGCUGGCCGCUGAGUGACUGGAGGAGACGAGGGGAUGGGGAGAGCUAGGGUUAGCAGAUCGCUAGCCAAAUUUUAUAUCAACUUGUGGGCUUUACCAAAUUUUCUUUGCUGGGCUGAUUUCGGCCUAUAUCUAAUGCACAAGCACAUGAAUUCGAGGCUCCCGCUGGGGAUCGGGGACAGGGAGCCAGGGAAGUCUAUUCCUAUCUGGUUUCCGGUGGCCCGUUAGCUAUAUGGCUUCCAUUGUUUGAGAUUCGUGCAAAGAAAUCCCACCCCUUGGUUGCACCCAUCUUCCUCAACCCUAACUUAGCCGUGCCCCUGUCCAUGGCCGCCGCCUCGACCCCGAGCUUGUCGCUCCCCCACGACACCUCCACCGGCGGGCCUAUUGCACCGCCGCCCAUGACUCUCGGCGCCUCCGCGCCCCAUGGCUAUCGGCCUACUGCCCGCGACCCCAGCGUCGCCGCCGCGCCCCAUAGCGCCUUCACACGUGACUCCUGGCACCUCCGCGUUGGCCUGCUGCCCGCGCGUCCAAAACCUGCCGCCGCCGCUGCGUCUUGGCCGCCGACCUGCCACAGGCACCCCCUGGUCAUGCUGUGGCCACGGCCUACCACCGUGCACGCCCUUCCACCGCACUAGCCGGUGCCGACGCCAGCGCGCAGCCUGCCGGCUUGCCGUGUGCUGGCGUCGGCACCGGAGAAGAAGCCACGACUAUUUUUUUUAAAAUGUUGAUGCAUUUGUGGAUAAAUGUUGAAUCCUUUUUUCAAAAUGUUUAAACGGGUUGUGAAAAAUAUUGAAAAUGGUAUACAUUCCAAAAAUGUUGAAUGUAGUAUUUUUAAAUAUUGAUCUAUUUCUCUUAAAAUGUUGAAUGUAAUUUUUCAUUGAUGAAUUUGGGCCUAUUAGUUGGGUCCAUUAGUUGGUCCUAAUGGACUUUAAAGCCAUGUUGCUUAGCUAGCACAUGGAAGCUACAUAGGAGCCCCCGCCAGGUAACGUCCCCGCCCCCGUCUCACCAGACAGGGAUGAGUUUUGACCUGCUAAGCUCCCCGAGGGGAGUAAAAUCACCCUAUUUACAUCCCCUAAUGGAUGAAUUCCCCACUGGGGAUUGGGGCCCCAUUGCCAUCCCUAGGCUACGUGAAGCCUGAGCCCUCUAGGGCAAUGUUAUAAAUUGUUUGACUAAUCACGAUUAGUCACGAUUAAUCGCCCUUAUCGGUUUCCUACCACCGAUAAUGCCCAACGAUUCGAUUUGGUCGAUAUCGUACAUACAUCUAUGGCCCACCAGGAGGUUUGGAUAGUUCUAUAUAUGGGGCUGGACAUCGAGACACAUCUUACAUGGAGACCAUGGCGCGGGACGGUGUAGUCUACAUGGAAGGACAAGAACUAGUUGGGAAUUAGGAAAGUACUCAUUGUAAUAAGAGAAUAACUCCUCUAACCGUAUCCAACUAGUAUUCUUGUAACCAACCGACCUGUAACCCUGUGCCCGGCUAUAUAACGCAAGGCAGGGACCCCCUCCAAAGCAAUUCAAUCCAACCAACACACAGGACGUAAGGUAUUACGCAAUUUAGCGGUCCGAACCUGUCUAAAUCGUGUGUCUGCGUUUACCUUCGAGUUCUUGAUCUCGACGAGCUGCACUAACCAAAACACUCCCUCGGGUACCCCCCUCGAUAGGGUGCCGGGUCUAAACACCGACAGCUAGCGCGUCAGGUAGGGGUUCUCAUCGAGAAUCCGCUGGUGAACUCGAUGGUACAAGUCAUCAUCAAGCCAAUCAUUGCAUUUGAAGCAGGCGCGACAUUCUUGUAACGACUCAGGUUAAUCAGCCAAGUUAAUCUUACAAGUUCCCAAAUCUGCAGUUCAAUCAGCCCCGACCCCUGAAACUCAACCCAACCGCCGUUUCUCUCUAAGUCCCGAAACCAGGGUUCCUUCAAAAGUGGAGCUUUGGGAGAGCCAGAGACUGGAAGUUGGACCUAGAGAAAGGAUUCCCCGGAUCUAUUAGGCCAAGCGCGCCAGAGCAAGCGUGCGCCCUACUUCAGAGCCCCGUCGCCGUGUGGCAUGGUAUCCCCGACGAGCCCCGCCUCGCCCAGUCGCUAGCCGCAACAGGAUGGAUCAGCGCACCUCCUUCCCAAUCACGCGCGGAAGCGCCCUGCAUCCCUUUUCCACCUCGUCUCAUCUCGCCUGCAACCUCGCCGGCUGCGCCAGGCGCCCUGUCGCCGCUGCGACCAAGGAUUAGCUGCUGCCGCGUCAGUUCGCCUCGUCUCCCGCGCACAUCUCCUCACCUGGAUCCCUGGCCUCGCGUCUCAACGCCUUUUGGCUUUUCUGUCGCCCCUUAGUUGUGCUGCCCACGCGCGCUCCCCGCGACGAAACCGCCUUCGCCAACCACGGCUCCAGCAGUGACAACUCCUUUUCCCGUCUCGCCAGUAGCGUGCCCCGGCAAAGCUGCUGGUUCGGCGCUUGCUAGCGUCGCCGCUCGCCUUGUCACCUCACCUGCAGCGCCCUCGCCUGCAGUGCCCCUUCCUUCCUUCCUGCCGCACGCUAGCCAAGCCGCCGCACCCAAUCCGCCGCUUGACGCGACCAGACCCGCGCUCACCCUCGCCAAUCUUUCCCUCUGGCAAAACCAUGCCUGCUUAAGCUCUGUCUUCAGUGCCCAAUGACCGAAGACCCUAUCCCUGAAGCUCCGCUUCGCCGGCCAAUGGAGGCAUCGACCAAUCGCCGCCCCGGCAGAGCACUCCAUUCUCUUCGACCUGAUCCUCGGGCUGCCCGAACUCCUUCUCUUCCGCGCAGCUAUAAAAGGGAGUACCCGAGCCUCUACCGGAGUUUCCUUCGCCAUCGUUUCCUUGCCGCACCUUCCUCUGUUUCGCACUCAAGCGCUGCCGCAUAAGCUCUUGAAGAACUCCCCUCUCUGCUCAACACCCACCUUUCCCAACCCGCCAGCCGCUUGUUCCUCCGCACUGUGCUAGAGCUUACUUGUUGUCCACAAGAAGCACCGCCGCCGCCGGAGCACCGCCGGUCCCAGCCGCCGCCCAAGCCUUAGCGCCUUAAGUCUUUCCGCCUGAGUCUGUUCCUUCCCGACCCCAAGACUUCACCAGUAGGCCCAAGGGUAAGCCGCCGACCCCUUUCCGUCUUGCCCGACCCCUAUUUGUUUCGCCGACCCUUGUCCGCCUCGUCUGAGGGCUCGGCUGUAUCCUUUUCUGUUGACCAAGGAUAUCUGUGUAAAAUUUUAGGGACUUCUCUGUGUUAUGUCUAAGGACCCCGGUACAGUUAUUCCUUAGGUCUGAGGGUCAGAUCAUAAGUUUUUCCCGAUCCGACUCCUUUAUCUUGUUCUCUAUCAACAGAAGCUUAGGAUUUCACACCUUUCCUGUAGUUUUGCCACAAGUUUCUAAGCUUAAGCUUGCAAGUGUUGUUGAAAUAACCGUCUAAGUGUUUAACCCCUGCAUUUGCAUUUCGUGUAGAGCUCAACCUCGCCGAGGGCACCUACGAGCUGCACCCGGUGCCAGAAGAUGAAGUAGUAGCUGAGCUGCCGACCGUAGGAGCUGAAGCAGAGCACACUGAAGAUCAGUUUGCUUCCGCCCCACUCGAAGGCAAGCCCCGAAGCAUAACCCAACUUUUCUAAACUUGAGCAUGCCUUCCUUUGUAUGUAUGUGCAUUUAUGUUACAGGAGUUGUUUGAAACCAUAAAUGCAUGACUUAGUUCCCUUGAUCUGAACACUAGCAUGAUAAGUCCGAGUAGUUGCAGUGCUUAACAGGACCCGGUAAAAGUCGAGUGAUUUCCUAUCACUCGCGAGUUAUAGGAGUUGUUUGUUCUCCUUCUGGUUACAACUAUAAGGACGGUGGACGGAGCAGAGCCUUGUGAACUCUUUUGGUGGUCGGUGGAUCGCCCUGUCUGUCUAUAUGAAAUUGCUUAAGGUCGGAAAGUGUUGGUGUUCGUGAUCAAGUGUUUGAAAGUACUAAUCUCAUACCUAGUAUGGGAUGGGGAAGCCUAGUACCUGAUUGAACUAGGGCGUGGCUUAUACCCCUGCUGUCCCUGGAACGAGGUUCCCAUGGUGCAUCAUGUGGGUGCAAGUGCUGUCACAGUACGACAAGAGGUCGGGACUGUGGAGCAUUGCAUGCUAAGGGAAGUUUGGACCUGACACGUGCCUGGGAAUUGAUGGGGAUGGCCGACACAGGAAGCGACCCUCUGUGGUGUGUGGAUGUCGUGAGAUUAGGUUCACCAUGCAUGGUUAAGAAACUCAAAUCAAUUCAUCUGCCUCUCACAGUUUGAGACUGCUUGAUCGCUAUGCUACACUGAGUAAAGAUGGAACAUGAUGAUGAUAUGAACUUUGAGGCUUGUUCUAUACUUUUGUUUGGAAUCUAUGAUUGUUAGCAUAAGCUGCCAAUAUAGCCUGGUUAAUGAACUUAGAAUCUGAGCUAAAAUAUUGAAAGUAAGGACCUACUGUAGUUGCUUUUAGCAAAACAAACCCCUCAGCUAAAGAGCCUUGCAUGUCUAGAAGUUGGUGGAGUAGUUUUUCCCACCGGUCGGUUAAGUCUUGUUGAGCUUAGCAGCUUAGCCUUGCUUGUGGCAUCUCUUUCAGGUGAAGUUGAAGCUUCUGAGUGUGCUGCUGUUGGCACUUGGCCGCCCCAGCUUCCUCCUGGGUGGACGGUCGAGUGGGAUCCCUCCUCGGACGGUGAGGAGAGGGAUCAUUGAUGUCUUGAUCGGCCUCAUCAGGGACAUCCGACCCAGCGCUAGCUUCCGCAGUUCUGUUUUAUCUUUUUCCGCUGCUUGAACUCUGUAAAACUUUGGUAUUUCCGAACCGGUGUUGAUGAACUUAAUGUACUUGUUUAAGUGGAAGAUCUGUUGUAUUCUCUGGAACCACUCACUUUCGUGUGAGCUAUGCUAACUCGGUUUGUAUAGUGGUUUAUCGGAUGAAAUCCGACGGAUCGUCGAGUCAACUUGAUUAAAGCAUAUGAUCGCGUGUUAGGCAACUUAAAUGUGCUUUAGCUAAGUUAAUCCGAGGUGUUCCGCCACAGUUCCUCUUCGGCUCCUAGGUUUGCAUCGCAGACGGUGUUGGAAAUUUCUGCCGCUACAUUGCGUUGACCCCGAAGAAGAAGCAGCAAACCAUGAAGCUCCAGCGCCAAGAUCUAGAGGAUCUCGUCAAGAAUUUUGGUGAAUUUUUAUUUCUUGACCUAGUCAGAGGCUAGGGGGACGAGUCUGAGUACAGCUCGACUUCUUCCACCGGUCGGAUUGACUUGCACGAGCUGGUGCAUAAGCCAUCGUGUGAGUCGGAUUACCAUCUGAGUCGAUUCCUGUUUGGACUCCGCAAUGUGACCACUGUUUAUCAGGCGGCCCUAUCCAGAUAAGAAUCCGAUAUGGAUAUGAUCGAGGACCUCGACUACUACUCGGAUCCGGAUGAGGAGACUCCUUUAUCAAGUCUGCAGCAGGGCCUGGUAAUCACAUCAACUCCUCAAGGCAGAUUCUUCUACUGGCCCAACAUGAAGCCACCCGCUCUUGCCAAGGACGAAAAUUCAUGCCUCAUCGCCUACCUCGACACUUUCUCGUACCAGGAGGGAGCUUCUCUGUCGCCCAUCUACGAGGUAGGCGACACCAUAGAGGUCAUGACUUCAAGCUCGGGAAGCUACUCUCCAGAGUAAGAACUCUUCGCCGUCAUUGCUGGAGAAGAGGACGAAGAAGAAGAGCGGCGGGACAGAAACUCGCGACAUGAGCGUCACCCAGAUGAUGUCUUGCAGGAUGAGCUCACCGCCAACAUUGUCAGAGAAGAGACCGAAGCUCAAAGAACUCAACAACGAGCAAGAAACGCCGCAAGAGCAGAGCGCCCCCGCUGCCUUGCAGCGGACCUACCAAUCCAUAACUUGGAUAAUGCCUUUGAAGCAGUUCAAACGCGUCACCAUCAUACUCCCAUGGCUACCGUCAUGUCUAUUGAUCUCAUCACCCGCACGAUGCCCCAGAACAAGUACACUAGACAGUUGGUUGAACUCGCGUAUGAACAACUCGAUCAGCAGAAUCCGAUACAGCCAGUCCAAUACUCCGCAUCCCAGCGAAGUCAACAUGGUAGUAGCCAAAGAGGCACUCUGUUGAGACUGAGUCAACUCGGAGGCACCAGACGAAGCCAAGCUGGAGCUGAAGGUAGUCGGGCAGAACCCUCGGGAUGUCGUGGCCACCAUGGGGCUAACCCAAAGCCUAAACGCCCAGUAGGAGACCUCUACAACAAGAUCAUUGCCAGCCGCGACGCCCGUACCAUCAUCGAUGAACGGUGCCGCGAGCGCGAUCAAGAAGUCAAAUGCCUAGGAGAUGGUACUGACGGGUUCCCCGCCUUCUCCAGACGUGUGAGGAGGACAACUCUACCUGAAAAGUUCAAACCCCCAGGCAUCACCAAGUACAAUGGCAAGCAAGACCCAGUCCAAUGGCUCUGGUGCUACUCGCUGUCAGUACAAGCAGCUGGGGGAAACAACGACACCAAAGUCGUCUACUUCCCCAUCUGCAUGGAGGCGGCGCCACUCACAUGGCUCGAAUCGUUGGACAAGAACUCCAUCGACUCAUGCAAGGACCUCAAGGUGGUGUUCACCAACAACUACAUGGGGGCAAUGCAGCGUUCAGGCAACUGGAUCGACUUGUCUUAGGUGAAGCAACAAGAAAGCAAGACCCUGCGAAGCUACUUACAUUGCUUCUUCGACAAGAAGGCCACAAUCGUGGAUGUCAUGGAGCGUGACUUCGUUGACCGCUUCCAGAAUGGCCUCCACGACCGCUAGAUGUUUUAGGACAUCGGCAAAAGAUGCUUCGCUGAUGUGAAAUCUCUCAAGAUCAUGGCAUGGACGUGGGCAGAUGAAGAAGAUAGGGAGAUCGAAAGGUUCGAGUUCAAUCGCAACAAGGGCUAGAACAACAACAAUCAGAACAACGGCCAACGCAACAACAAGAACUGCAACGAUCGCCCCAGCAAUGACAACUGAAAUAACUACUUGGGAAGUAAGAACCACUUGCGUAAGCUAGACAAUACUGUCACGGAAAUCUCGCAGUCGUCCAAGAAAGGUGGCAGCAAGAACCAAGAUAAACCCUCAUUUAAUGAGCUCUUGAAGAAACAGUGCCCAUGGCACCCAUACCACAAGCAUGCUGCGUUAGACUGUUUCAGUCUACGCAGAGUCAUGAAGGACCUGCCAGAGCUAUCUGGUACCAAAGACAAGGGAAAGACCAAGAAAGACAAAGAUGAUGGUGACAAUGGUAAGUUCUAGAACCCAUCCAACACCAUCAACGUCAUCUUCGGUGGAACCCCGGGUACUGCCACUAAGCAGUUCUAGAAGCUGACUCUUCGAGAGAUAAUGUCCAUUGAACCUGCGGUGCCAACAUUCCUCAAAUGGUCCGAGGUGCCAAUUACCUUGUCCAGAAAGGACCAAUGGACUAGUUUCUCAGACCCAGGAUAGUAUCCCCUCGUCCUGGACCCGGUCGUCGCUGGCUCAAGACUUACCAAAGUACUCAUCGACGGCGACAACGGUCUCAAUAUCCUGUUCGCCAAUACACUGAAUAAGAUGGGCCUCGACAUCACCGAAUAUGAUCACACCAAGAAACUCUCCAUUUUAUGGGAUUGUCCCAGGCAACAUGGUUGUAGCCCUCGAACAGGUGGUUUUGCCAAUUACCUUUGGGACCAAAGAACACUACCGGACAGAAUACAUCCGGUUCGAGGUGUUGAAUUUCAAAACAUCACAACACACCAUGCUCGGAAGACCAGCAUUGGCUAAAUUCAUGGUCAUCCCACACUACGUGUACUUAGUACUCAAGAUGCCAGGAUCCAAGGGAGUAAUCUCCCUGUGCGGAGACUUGAAGAGGUUGUACAACUGCGACACAGAAGCCAUGGAGCUAGCAGCAAUUACUCAAGUACCAAACUUGAUGAUGCAAGUCUUCACUGCAUCCAAGAAGUUGUCUCCAUCAGUGCUCGAGAUUCUAGAAAAGAAGUCGGGGGCAACCAAGGGCAAGCUAGCAAGUGAACUAGACAUCAAAGCCUUUGACCUUAAGACUGGUGACAGCUUCAAGACAGCCCUGAUUGGCAUAGGGCUAGGUCCUAAAUAGGAAGGCGCGCUUGUCAGGUUCCUUCGGGCCAACCAAGACAUCUUCACGUGGAACCAACAGACAUGUCGUGGGUGCCCAGGAGUUGAUCGAGCACUCACUCAACAUGAAUCUAAUAGCUACACCAAAAAGGCAACACCUACGAUGAUUUGCCCAAGACAGAAGGGAAGCCAUCAAGAAAGAGCUGGCCAAACUACUCGCGGUGAGCUUCAUAAAAGAAGUCUAUCAUCUAGAGUGGCUCGCCAAUCCCAUCCUAGUGUGAAAGAAAAAUAACAAAUAGUGGAGGAUGUGUGUUGACUACACAGACCUCAACAAGCACUGUCUAAAGGAUCCCUUCGAGCUCCCUAGGAUUGAUCAAGUCAUUGACUCCAUAGCUGGAUGUGCCCUACUCUAUUUCCUCGAUUGAUACUUAGGGUAUCACCAAAUAGCUCUCAAGGAGGAAGACCACAUUAAGACCGCGUUCAUCACCCUAUACGGAGCUUUCUGCUACACAACAGUGUCUUUCAGGUUGAAGAACACAGGAGCUACUUAUCAACGGGCAGUCCAGGAGUGCUUCAAGAAGCACCUACACCGCAACAUGGAGGCGUACGUGGACGACGUGGUCAUAAAGACCAGAAAUCCCGACGACCUGAUUGCGGAUCUAGAAGAAACUUUUGCAAGUCUGCAAGAGUUCCGAUGGAAGCUCAACCCGACAAAUUGUGUCUUCUGCAUACCUUCCGGGAAACUACUCGGGUUCAUCAUUAGUCAUCGAGGCAUUGAAGCUAACCCCGAGAAGAUCUCCUCCAUCACCGAUAUGCAUGCCCCAUCAGGCAUCAAGGACAUCCAGAAGCUGACUGGAUACAUGACGGCCCUCAACAGAUUCAUCUCAAAGCCCCAACUAGUAUGAUGUGAUCCCUCCUCAAAUCCCCCACGGAUUCGACUUGAAUUUGUAGUUUUCCUAAAGACUUGAGUUCUUGGUAGGGUUUCAGUGUUCUCCAAAAUUCGUUAUGAAUACUUAAGCUUUUCGAAGUGAGCCUUUGGGAAUAACCUGGUAUGUUGUUAUAAGUUUAUGGUUCAAAUUUUGUAAUUUUUGGAGGUCGUUUGAUCAAGUUUUGAAUUGUUCCGACUUGUUCACGCAGACUGUUUUUGGAGCUGCGGAAUAUUCCAAAGAAUUUUCCGAAAAAUUCUGUAGGUGCGAAGAUUUUUUCGGAAAUUUCGUAGGUGUGGAUUCUCCAAAGGUUUGUGCAGAUUCUCCGGAAGUUGCGGAUUAUUCCGAAGAGUUUUGCGGAGUUUCCGUACUUUUGUGUUGGUUUUCCAAUCUCUUCUUCCGACACUUGUUUGGGUUUUCUUUCUCGCUUCCGUUAGUUUCUAAUUUGGUUCCUAGCACCAUUUCUAGAUCCAUUAGCUCUUGCAUAGCUAAGGGGACUUGAUAUUGCUAGAAGAGAGGUUUGUGGAUUGGUUUGAGACUAUAGCCGAGGUUAUUUGAAGAAAUUUGAAUUGGCUCCCAUUCACCACCCUUUGGUCGCCCGUUCCGAUCCUUCACCGUAGAAUCCUUGCUUUUGCUAUUUAUUUAGGUUUCAUCCGUUUCCAUUGGACCCAGAAUCCUUGCUUUUGCUGUGUAGGUUUCAUCUGGUUUAGUUUUCUGUUGGUACAUGGACAUAUGCUUGUACAAAAUCCUUGCUUUUGCUUAUCAUCUAUAAUCAUUGUUUGCACACCGAAGCAUUUUUUUAAACUUAGAUGCACUCUUGUACAGGAAAACAGAUCUUGGAGGAAUGCUGGUGAAAUAAGUAGGGAUGGAAUUUUGGGGCGAAGCAGCUAGAAGUUCCAGGGGAGGGUGAACUUGCAACCACAAGCCUAACAUCAUCUGGAUAUUCUAUCAGAUAGCAUCCACACAAAGAUACAUAGAAGUACGCAGCAAAGCGCCGCCAGCGACGUCAGCACGCCCUUGUGCCCCUGCAGAUAACGUCCAGAGGAGCCUGUCGGCAGCAACCUGUCGAGGUACUCGCUGACAGUGGUGUACUCGACGUCCGGGUAGAGCUCGCCGGCGGCCGCCCCCAGCGACGGCUCGAUCUUGAAGUUUGUCUCCCCCAGGAUGUACGCCGCGUGCCCGAUCGAGAGCGCGAUGCCCAGCGCGUGAGAAGCCUCUGCAGAAUCAUUUUUCCCCCCUUAACAUUUCACAGCAAGUAAAUACAAUGCAGAUGCUGUCUUCUCAGGAAGAACCAGAACCAGGCGUGUCCUACUGACCUCGGAUCAUCUUGAGGACGGCGUCCUCGGCGACGUACACCCGCAGGAACGUCCGGCCGGUCUUCUUCUCCCACAUCGACAGCAGCUCGUUGUGCGACAGCGUGUUGGCCGGCGGCUUGACGUACAGCAUCCGGCCCGCCGCGCGGGGGUCGGCGGCGGCCCGGACCGUGUAGGCACCGACGUCCUCCUCGGCCACGUACGACACCUUGGUGUCGCCGCCGCCGAGGACGACGGCCUCGUCGGCGGGGGGCGCCGGGGACAGCACCUGCCCGACGCUGGGCAGCGCGGCGCCGGCGAGGUACCCGCACAGCACGUAGGUGUGCGGGACGCCCGCGGCCUCCACGGCGCGCCGGACGGACGCCUUGCUGGCGUAGACGGUGGACCUCGCCGGCUCCACGGCGGCGGUGUGGUCCACGUCCGUCCAGAACUCCGACGGCAAGAACCUCUGCACGUAAGCAUUUACAAGCACGCCGGCCGCGAGCGAGCUUGCGGUCAACGAAUCACUGAAUCGAAGCAUCGAAGGCAGUGCAGUGAUGCGAGUAAACAAAGGUUGCUACCUUGACGCCGCCGGCGUCCUUGAUGGCGGCGAUGAGCCGGGUCUGGUCGGCGAUCUGCCGCGUCCCGAGCGCGGAGAUGACGACGUCGGCGGCCUUCAUGGGGCGCACCAGGCUGGUGUGGUCGUAGAGGUCGCCCUUGACGAGCGUCACGCCGGCGUCACGGAAGCUCCGGAGCAGCGCCGCCUUGGCCGGGUCGGAGGGGGCGGUGUCCCUGACGAGCGCGGCGGUGGGGUGGCCCAGCCGCGCGCUCGCCGCCACGAUGUGCCUGCCCAGGCGGCCCGUGCCGCCGAUCACCAGGAUCCUAGUCUCCUCAUUAGGGGACAUCUUGGUUCCUUUGCUUGUGAGUAGUGACCGAUCGAUCGAUUCGCGGCUCACCGAGAAGAGUGAGUGAGUUCGCUAGACUCGACGUGUGUGGCCGGUUUAAGAAGGGACCUGUCUGCCCGUUCUUAUCGUGAUCGGGAGUGACUCAUUAUUAGCCGAUUUCAAUGCGCCAACAUUGAUAUCGAUAUAGUUAACUACCACGCGAAACACGGGCAACAAUAUAGAAAUACAGCUUCGUUUCAAAAAAAAAAAAUAUAGAAGUACAGCAUAAAUCAACAGUUGAUGAUGUUCCCACUCCAUGGCUACGGUUCAAUUUGAGUGCUGUUGUCAGGAAAUUGACAAAUCUUCUUCUUCUUUAUGUAACUGUACAAUGCAAAUGGUUUUAUUUUUUUCUUCUUCUUGAUGGUGAAAUGGUUUCAGUCUGAAAUCCGUUUGAAAAUGAAUCCUCUAAUGCAUAUUUGGCUAAACUCUGUGGCUUCAGAUUAUGAAUCCAACUGCUUAAGAUGGUGUUUGGCAUCACUCCAAAAACCAGCUCUACUCCACCAGCUCCACACUUUUCCAGCUCCACUCCACCAACUCCAGAAAACUAUGAAGCUGCUGUACACAUUUGGUUGUUUAUAGUGCUCCAACUCCAAAAAUACAAGAAUUUGGUGGGAAAGUUCUAUUUUACCCAUGAUGGAUAGCUGGUUCUGUUUUUAGCAUUGUGGAGACUCCUUUAUUUAUUUUGACGUGCUGCAGUAAUUCGCUACAGGAAUUAUUUUUUAAAAAAAUGUCCAACCCGAUAAUGUUUUGCCAAAUGAAAAGUCACAACAAAUACGGUACAAAAUCAACCUUGCCAUUACAAACUACUUCCAAGGAAGAGAGUGCGGUGGCUAGCUCAUCACGAAAGACAUCCAUAGUUGGUGCGUUGAGUGCCGAAGUUGACCCAUCCGACGCCGCUUGUGAAACUGCAUAUUUGUUAUAUCUUUUCGGUACUGUAGGAACAAAAUUAGGAUCACGAUCAAACCGAGCAAAGUCUUCAUCUUCACCUCCAUGUUCACGAAUGAAAUUGUGAAGGACCAUGGUAGCCACAGCAAUCAUCUUUUGCUUGUACAUGGGAUAUGGUAGCAUCUUCCAAAGAAUUUGCUACUUCAUUUUUAAUAAUUCAAAAGGUCACUCAAUCACAUUGCAGAUAGAUGAGUGAAUCCGAUUGAACCUUUCCAUAUGAGUCUUAGGUUCGGUACCUUUAUGCCAUUCAGGUAAAUGAUACCUUUCACCCUUGUAAGGAGCGAGGUAGCCAGGAUGAUUAGGAUAUCCCGCAUCCACAACAUAAUAUUUGCCUAUAUUCAGAUAAAAAUAAUAUGAGUUAUGGAUUAAUGCUACAUGUUAAUCACAUUUGUAUGUUCAAAUUGAACACAUGUUACCUUGUGCAGGAUGUGGAAAAAAUCUUCAUCAACUCUGAGUGUAUUGUACAGCACACUUGUGUCAUGCAUAGUUCUAGGUUGGCCCAUGAAAAUAUAAGUGAAACGCAUGUCAAAGUCACAUACUGCUAGUACAUUUUGAGUGGCUACCCUAGUUUUUCCAAUAUACACUUGCUCAUAAUGUGAAAGAGUGACACGGAUAUGAGUGCCAUCAAGUGCACCAAUACAAUAUUUGAAAUGUGGAUAUGCACAUUUGUCAUAUCUUAUCCUUUUAUGGACCGUGGAGUAGUUGAAAUUUUUUGGUCUAAUGUAAUCUUUUGCCAUAACCAUCAAAGCAUUUAGAACCUCAUCAAAUUUCCUACUAAUAGUUUCACCUGAAUGCUUAAAUCUAUUUUGAGCUCUCCUAUUAGACUCGUUUCCAACACAUGUGUAUAGGAACAUAGCAAGCAUCUCAUAUGUGGUUAUGUGCAUAGAAGAUUGCAGCCCAUACCUUUUCAUCAUGUCAGAAUUUGCCACUUCAUCUAAUCUGUCAUGUACACUCAUUAUAUAAGAAGCAAAUCAUAGUACAACUGUUUAGCUUAUGCAUGUCAUGUACACUCAUUAACCAAAAAUGUAAAACCUAAUCCCUUACCACACCCUCCUACAUUACAGAAGUAUUUUGUGAGAUGCUCUAUUAAAAAAAUGAAGUAUUUUGUAUGAUUCAAUAUUCUAUUAUUAACCAUGAGAUGAAAGCAUCCAGUUACAUUAAUUUGCUACUUUCUUGAAUGAUCACAAUUCACUAUACAGAGUUUGUCAUCCACAAGCAACACAAGAAAGCAACACAAGAAAGUUUAACCGGUUGCUACCAAUUUCCAUUCACAUUCUGAAUUUGAAUAGGAUGCUCAGUUUGCAUUACCGUGUCAGGAGCAUUUCUUUUUUAUGCCUUCUUCAACCCUGUGUGUUGUGCAGCAGAGACGGCAACAUCUUGGGCGGUGGGCUUGCUGCCAAGCCCGGCCACAUCCUCACUGCCAAGCCCGGCGCCUGUAACAACUCUACCUAAAUUAAGUGCUUUAAUCCUAAACCAGUGUCAAUUAAACCCCUAAGCUACGAAGUGAAAUGACCUUUUUAAACCUAAGAAGCUCUCUUUUGGAGUUUGUUUUAAAGCUUGAAAUUCUAUAUACAAACUUAAGUUUCUGCCCAAAUAAGAGUUGUAAAACUUUUAAUUUCCCACAACUUUUGUUAAAGGCACCUUGUCUAAGUCGGAGUGGAAAGGAGUCAGAAACAGCAACCCAAGCCGGUUCUCCUGCAGGACCCUGAAAAUCUUUUAAGUCCUGGAAUUUGAGUUUUCCUCCAUCUUUGCAAGCUUUCAUCUCCCGUUUUCCUAUCUAAACUCGAGUCAGAGCCUUAAUAGAAGUUGUAGUACCUCAAGAGUGUUCCAGCUUUGUUACACUGACCCAGAUCCAAAUCGGGCCCGAACUUGUUCAAAAUCCCGGUCAAAGUGAGGUAAACCAGUCAACUCACCCCGGAUGCUUAAAAAUCCUAAGUCUGGAAUCCCAGAUUUUUGGCUAAUUUUGGCCGGAAAUAUCUUUGAAUCCUUUCACAACCUAAACCGACACCUUAAACAAAGUUUGAAGGAUUACCAGAGUUGAACAAGUUUGUUUAAGGGCGUUUCGGGUGUUGUGUUGAAAGAUUCGGAGAAGGAUCGCUCCAAAGCUGGUCUGGCUUGCAGCCCGAAGGGAGCCUCGACGCUCGCGCGCCCGAGCAUGUUCGCUCGCGCGCUGCGUGGCCGCCGGCCACCAGCAGCUCGCCGGCGCCCUAUCCCCAGCGCGACAGCGACCGGACAAGAGCCACGGUGCCCAACCCGCACCCGCGACAGGACGGAGCGAGCGAAGGGCUAGCCAAUCGUCGGCCGAGCGCAAGUCACCUUCCGUCUGCCACGCUCUGCUCCGCCAAUCCUGUUCCGCCCGUUCGCCGAGGAAGCUGAGAUGCCCCCGACAUCCCGCGUCUCCGCCCGCUCGCCCAACCCCCGCGGUAGCCUUUCCGCAUCGCCCGCCCGACAGACCGGAAGCCCCACACGCUCGCCGCCCAAGGCCAAUCGCCGCCGAAGACCACCCGGAGCUCCGCCUCCUCUGCCCAAUAGCGUCGUCGGCCAAUGGCCGCCUCGCUCAAGCACUCGCCGCUCCCGGCCUUAUCCUUUCCCCACCGGAGCCCCGCCUCGACCCUCCGCGCCACCCCGGGCCUAUAAAAGGGGACCCCCUCACCGGCAAUGCCACCCCUUGCCACCGCCCGCACCUGCGCCGCCGCUUUCUCCUCUGCGCCCUGCCUUCUCCUCUGAGCCACCGCUUUCUUUCCGCGCCGUCGCUGAGCUUCCGUGGAGCUCACCCCCUUGCGCCACCACCACACUCCGGCGACUUCGCCGCCACCCCAAGCCGCUUCAUCCGACACACCCGCCGCUGCUCCUCCGCGCGGUACUAGAGCUUGCUUGUGUCCACCAGAAGCACGCCGCCGCCGGACCACCGUCGAAGUCUCGCCGCCGCCCAAGCCUUCGUGCAUACAACCUUCCCGCCCCAGCCUGUUCCUGUUCGGCCCCAAGGCAUCGCCGGUAGACAUGGAGGUAAGCUACUUAACCUCCCUGUCUUUCCGUCCCGCCCGACCCCUGUCCUUGUUCGGUUCGUCCGACCCCUCUCCGUUCGGUUCGUCCGACCCCUUUGUUUUGGUUCGUCCGAACCCUUUGUUUCGGUUCGCCCGACCCCUUUUCUUUUCGUCUCGCCCGACCCUGCCAAGUUUCGCCGACCCUCUCUCCGCCUCGCCCGAGGGCUCGGUUGUAAUUCUUUUUCUUUGACCCGAGGGUAUCGGUGAAAUGUUUUCGGGGAUUCCUCUGUGUUGAGUCUGAGGACCUCGGUACGGUUUUCCUUAAACCUGAGGGUCAGACCCUAAGUUUUCCCCAAUCCGACCCUUCCAUCCUGCUCUCCACAUGCAGAAGUUGAACUCCCCCACCUUUCCUGUAGCUUUGCUACAAGUGUCCAUGUUAAAGCAUGAGAAUGUUGAAAUAACUAUCUAAAAUGUUUAACCCCUGCAUUGCAUUUCCGUGUAGAGUUGAAUCUCGCCAACGGGACGUACGAGCUUCAUCCAGCCCCGGAAGAAGACCCUGCCGAGGAACAACUGCACCCCUUCGAAGGAGAGCCCGAGCCAGCGCAAGACCCCGAGGACCCCCAAGCUUUUUCUGAAGGCAAGCCCCGGUGCAUGAACUCCCUGUUUUGCUUUCAUGCCAUUGAUUGAUUACUUGAUUGCGCAUUUACGUUUCGAGGAGUUGUAAUGGAACCUUAGAUGCAUAACUUAGUACCUUGUUUUGAAUACUAGUCUCUAAGGCCGAGUAGUUGCAUUGCUUAAUAGGUUUCGGUAAAAGUCGAGUGAUCUCCUGUCACUCGCGAGUUAUAGGAGUUGAAUGUUUCAGUUUUGUCGCAACUAUAAGGACGACGGACGGGGUCAGGCUUGUGUUCGAUGCUUGGUGGAUUGCCCCAUCUGUCUAAAUGAAAACGAACUAAGGUCGAAACAUGUCGGCGUUCGUGAUCAAGUGAUUGAAAGUACUAAUCUCAUACCUAGUAUGGGAUGGGGAAGCCUAGUACCUGAUUGAACUGGGGCGUGGCAUACCUUCCAGCUGUCCUUGGAACGUCGUUCCCAUGGUGCAUCAUGUGGGUGCAAGUGCGGUCACAGUGCAGCACUAGGCCGGGACUGUGGAGCAUUGCAUGCCAAAGGAAGUUGGCCCUGACACGUGCCUAAGGGAUCGAUGGGGACGGUUGACAAAUGAAGCAACCCUUCGUGGUGCGCGGAUGUCGUGAGAUUAGGUUUGCCAUGCAUGGUUAAUAAAUUCGAAUCGAUUCGUCUGCCUCUCACAGAUUGGGACUACUUGAUCGCUAUGCUGCACUGAGUAAGGAUGGAACAUGAUGAGGUUUUAAAUCUUGAUGUUUGAUAAGUAAUUGCCUGGAAACCAUGUUUGUUUAGUAUAAGUUGCUAAUUUAGAAUGGAUAAAGAACAUAGAACAUGAGCUAAAAGGUUGAAAGUAAGGACUAACUUUAGACGCUUUUGGCAAGAAAAACCCCAGAGCCAGAAAGCCUUGCAUGUUUAGGUCUCGGUCGUGUCCUUCCGACGGAUCAGUCUUGCUGAGUACUAGUUGCUCAGCCUUGUUGUGGCUAAUCUUUUUCAGGUAAUAUCAGUAGAUUUGGUGUUGGUACCACUUGGCCGACCUAGCUUCCUCCAGGCUGGACCGUCGAGUGGGAUCCUUCCUCGGACGGUGAAGGGAGAAAUUUUUGAUGUCAUGAUCGGCUCCGUCAUGAUGUCUUGUAUCGACGUUUAGCUUACGCUAGUUUUAAUUUGACCUCGAACCAUGCAAAAUUUCGGUUGAAGUUCCAAAACUCUGAUGUAAUAAAUUGUUGAACUAUGUUGUCAUGAUGGGAUGUUGUAAUCUCUGUGCUACUCACCUUCGCGUGAGCGAUGCUUCUCAAUCCUGUUUACGUGGUUUAUCGGAGGAAAUCCGACGGUCAACCAAGUUGACUUGCUUAAAGUGCAUAAUCGCAUGUCAGGCGACUUCAAUGCAUUUUAGUCAGGUUAAUUUGGGCGGUUCCGCCACAGCUGGCAUCAGAGCUCGAAGCACAGUACGGAGAACAAUAAACCUUAAAACUCUUUUUCUAACUAAAAUUUACAAGAAGUAAAAAUCAAGAAGCUCGUAAGUUCGCUAAGGAUGAGUAUAGUUCGAGGAGCCCUAGGGGAUUUUGGGAUUGUUUUUAAGGUGGCUAAUAGUUAUUGGUUAUCUUCUAACUUCCAGCACUUUUUGACACGUCUAUCAUACGUGUGCAUGAUUCCGCAUCGCGAGUAUGCGAAGGGUGAUGGGAAUUCAAUUCCAACGAGCCUAUCGUCACGGUUGUUCGCCCACGUUUGUUACACGUGUGCAUGAUUCCGCAUCGCGAGAAUGCGAAGGGUUAUAGGAUUCUAUUCAAAGGAACCUAUUUCCACGGUUGUUGCGCUGUCCAUGCAGCGUUAAACGCAUGGGUGCCGUUUCUAUAGCGAACGGUAAUGAUUGUGGACGCUUUCGUGAGUGCUGGCACGGAAGGUUCAAGCUGUGUUGUGUUUUUCUGCAGGUACACUAACAAAGGUUGCAUUCGAAAUGAUGCCUAGUAACUCGACUAGUUAUUAUAGUGAGGGUCGUAUUGUUGCCUUGCCACCGGCACUAACCACGUAAGUCCAAAGAUUUUUGGCAAUUAUUUUUGGUUGAGAGGACGACUAAGACGUGCAUGCAUUCAAACUCGAGUACGUCGUAAAACGUAAUGCACCGCAUUAAGGAUUGUCUAGCUGUCUUUUUCCGCCAUGAUAACUCUAGAAACUUUGUAUAAGCAAGUCGUGUUAAAACACUCAAGUAAAACUGCCACCAGGUACUAACUUUUGGGUUGAGAGUUGUGAUCAGUUGGUGACCCCCUGUUGGCUGUUAGCCCAAAGUGCACACCAGCGGAGUUUCUGCUGUUUCGACCACCCUAAGGACCUUUUCAGUGAGGAGCCCUUUAAGCAAAGUUUUUCAGAACUUAGUGAAGGACUUACUGGUAGAGUUUCAGCUUUGUUGAGUCUCUGGCUUGGAAGUUGUGUUCAGUUUAUCUUGACUCAGUCUAAAGAGUUCCAGCAGGUACACUUAAUGGGAAUCUGAGAUCAUCACCUCGUUAGGUUCUGUUCUAGCCCUACCUUUGAAUACCAAACUUGUUACACGCUAUCUAAAGAACCUGCUAGUAAAAUUUGAGAAGUUUUGGAGGAAUACUUGAUGAGUUAUGAGCUUUCCUCUAACUGCUAGAAAUCUAUUUGAUUUCCAAGUGUUAGCUCCGUUCUCACUUGACCUUUGGUUACAGAUGGCGCAGCCCGUGCACGUUGCAGUCGGCACGGAUGGCACCACCUACUCAUGGUGCCUUCACUACGAGGGUUUUCCAGCUGUGUUGUGGGACACUCUGCGCUCUUUCGGGUAUCAGUCGCCACCGGUUUAUGCGGGCCGUGCGUACCAGGACCACGGGAUUCCGCGGAGCCGCGUACAUGUGCGGGUAUCCCCACAUCCAGAUCAGCCACAGUGGCCACUGUUGGAGGUAGUGGCUGAGGGACACACGCUCCACGACGCCUGGGAGUUCGGAGCCUUGCAGACAUUGACCCAGUUCUGCCGGGCACACCCUCUUGAGAUCGUGCUAGACCCGAUUGGGUUGUUCCCUGCCCGGGAUACGAGGGACCCGGACUGGUUGGACCGUAUGGAGCAUAUGGACUUGCUCGGACUUAUGAAUCCUCAGCGCACGAUUUUUGUUUCAGCUCGCUGCCUGAAUGUGUUCUACAGGAUGGUUGAGCUGCAGAGCCGAGCAAUGGCCACGGUGAUUAGGAUGGCAGUGGCCAACCAGGUUGCGUUGUCUACCGUGCAGAGUGGCAUGGUGGACCAGUCGCUCGAGCUGGUACAGAAGGAUGUUCAGAUUGCUGAGAUGCAGGACAAGAUUACUAGUUUAGAGGAAGAGAUUGUAGACAUGGAGCACGAUAUGGAGAUCUUGGCUGACCAGUUCUAUGAUGUGAACAUGGAGCUGGCGAACGCCAAUGAGCACUUACAAGAACAUCAUGAUGAGCUAAAUGUCAUCCACGCCCUGGAGGUGCAGCUAGAUGAGCAGAUGGCCCAGGAGGAGGAGCCUGAGGAGAUCAAAGGCUUUUCGAGCAUGGACUAUGAGAAUGCCUCACCGCAGCCUCCAGUUGGUGACGCUCACUCACCGGCCCUUAGCUUUGCCUCCGUGGGCAACCUCGACGACUUCUAGUUAUGACAAACUAGGUUGAGCGGUUCUUUUGUCUUUGUUUGUACUCCUCGGCGACCUAUAUUUUUGGCCAGUGAUGUAAUAGGUUAGCCUUGAGUUGAGUACUCCUCCUGUAUGUAAGACCAGCAAUGAAAUGAUCUUAGUGAAAGCAGUUCCUUUUGUUUUCGCUCCCUUUGACUCUACUUCUGAUCUUUGUGACACACCGUGGAUGCCAAGUUGUGUGGGUUUUAGUGCUGUGAUCACACACCCGCCUCCUGUGGGCCUGUCCAAAGCUGGCCGACCCCGGGUCGCGAGGUCGGACGCGCCCGACCCCUCGCGGCAGGUCUCCGCCUCGCCCGACCCCGGGAUGACAGUCUCCGCCUCGUCCGACCCCAUGUUGGAAGGUCUUCGCCUCGCCCGACCCCGGCACCAGAGGUCGGAAUUUAGUGGGGCACCGAGGAUAAGGUUUUGCUCGCCCAAGGGUGUGUGCAGACCAACCAGGGAAACACCGGAUCUUGUGGACCCUACAAAACAUGGAUCCAAAUACCUUUCCGAUCGGUAACAAGGAUAAAAUGACGCUGCAGAAAACGGGCUAGUUGCUAGCUAAGAUGUGUGCACCUCCUUAUAAGGAUAUGUGUUGUGUUGCAAAAGUUGCAUCCGUGGAUUUAACACGUGCAUUCCCACAUUUUAUUGGGAAUACUUCUGAGGUUAUGGAGCUAAUGGAAAGGUGAAUCUUGCAGAUGGCGCAUCGCACACGCUCCGGCUUUGUUCCCAGUGGCAGCGAGGUGCCUCCCCCACCUCCGCCUCCGACCACCCUCGAGUCGAUCUUGGCAGCCCAAACCGAGCUGUUGAGGCACAUCGCUCAGGGGCAGCAGCAGCAGCCCCAAGGAGGAAGGGCCCAUCAUCAGCCACACGUUGCUCGUUAUGAGGAUUUUCUGGGGACCCAGCCUCCUCUGUUUCACAAGACGGAGGACCCACUUGACGCCGAUGCCUGGAUUCGCGCUAUCGAGUCCAAGUUCUCCCUUCUCACCGCAGUUCGCCCGGAUGAGAACAAGGUUCGGUUCGCUGCGCAGCAGUUGCGUGGUUCUGCUCUCCUGUGGUGGGAAAACUACCACGCCAUGCAGUCGGCCGACCACGUCGUUGCCUGGGAGGAAUUCAAGACAGCGUUCAGGGGUCAUCACAUCCCUGAGGGUCUUCUAGAGCGCAAGCUCAACGAGUUCCUGGUUCUCACCCAGGGAGGCCGCGAUGUCCUGCACUAUGCGCAGGCUUUCAACGACCUGUGUCGCUAUGCAGGCUAUCAUGCGGACUCCGAUGAAAAGAAGAGGGACCGUUUCCGCAGAGGCUUGAGUUUGGAGCUCAAGGAAAGGCUGAACCCUAUCAAAGUGGGUUCCUACAAUGAACUGGUGAACCUGGUAAUUUCCCAGGAAGAUUGCAUGAAGGCUCUCAAGGCCGACAUGAAGAGAAAGGCCCCAAUGCCGGCACCCAGCCCGCCUGCCCAGAAGUACAGAAUGGUUCCCCCACAAGCGCCUCGCAGGCCUGCACAGCCUGGGAGAUGGGUUGCUCGACCUCCACCGCAGGCAGCACCUCGUUUCCCAGGUUUCCAGCCACAAGGGCCCCGUCCUGCUCUCCCGAUGCCACUACGCCCGGUCCCUGGAAACCGCUGUUUCACUUGCGGGAACUCAGGACACUUCGCCAAGGAAUGCCCCCGCAACCAGAACCCGGUCAAAGCAAUACAUCAGGCAACAAGGGGAAGAAGCCAAAGGUGCAGGUCCGACAAGGCAGGCUGAACUUCACCACCCUUGCUGAACUUCCAGAGGGCGCACCAGUGAUGACAGGUACCUUUUCUAUCUGUGAUCAACCCAUCCUUAUUUUGUUUGAUUCAGGAGCAUCCCAUAGUUUCAUUGGGAUUAGAAUCAGUGCUAAGUGUGGGCUAGAUUUCUGUCACACAAAAGGCACCUACCUAAUCUCUACCCCGGGUGGAAAGGUAGCUUCACACCAAGUGAGCCGCAAAGUACCUAUCCAGUUAGGAAGGACCCUCCUUAAGGAAGACCUGCUUACCCUUGGGAUAGAAGGAAUAGAUGUUAUCUUGGGUAUGGAUUGGAUGACCCGACACCGAGUGACCCUAGAUAUCCCUGCCAGGGCAAUCCACAUAAAUUCACCCAAGUAUGGUAGCUCCACCAUACGCUUACCUCCCCGAGAGUGCCAACCUUCUUGUGCCUAUCCCGUGUCUGAAGCCCGUUUGGAAGAUAUCCCAGUGGUGUGCGAGUACCCGGAUGUGUUUCCAGAUGAUUUGCCGGGCAUGCCGCCUGAGAGAGACAUCGAGUUUGCCAUUGAGUUGCAACCAGGUACCGCCCCAAUCUCAAAGAGACCAUAUCGGAUGCCACCUGCCGAACUGGCAGAAAUGAAAACUCAGUUGCAUGAUUUGUUGGAAAGGGGUUUUAUUCGCUCAAGUACAUCACCUUGGGGUUGCUCUGCCUUGUUUGUGAAAAAGAAGGACGAUAGUCUGCGAAUGUGUGUCGACUACUGACCCCUCAAUGCGGUGACGAUAAAGAACAAGUACCCCCUACCUCGCAUUGAUGUUCUGUUCGACCAAUUAGCUGGAGCUAGAGUGUUUUCCAAAAUUGACCUCCGUUCUGGCUACCAUCAAAUUAGGAUCCACCCGUGUGACGUUCCAAAGACUGACUUCUCUACACGCUAUGGACUCUACGAGUACUUAGUCAUGUCGUUUGGGCUUACUAAUGCACCGGCUUAUUUCAUGUACCUCAUGAAUUCGGUGUUUAUGCCCGAACUCGACAAAUUCAUCGUGGUUUUCAUUGACGACAUCUUGGUGUACUCGAAGAAUGAACAAGAACAUGCAGAGCACCUACAUACUGUACUCCAACGCUUAAGAGACCACCAACUCUAUGCCAAGUUCUCCAAGUGUGAUUUUUGGCUGGACAGUGUUAAAUUCUUGGGGCACACCAUAUCCAGAGACGGUAUAGCAGUAGACCCAAGCAAGGUGCAAGAAGUAAUGGACUGGAAGCCGCCCGCUUCAGUUCAUCAGAUUCGAAGUUUUCUUGGUUUAGCUGGUUACUACCGUUGCUUCCUCCCUGACUUCUCAAAAAUAGCCAAGCCAAUGACGGAACUGCUGAAGAAAGGGAGUAAGUUUGUGUGGAGUGACAAAUGUGAAGAGGCUUUCCACACCUUGAGGCAACUAUUGACUUCGGCGCCAGUUUUAGCUCAGCCUGACACCACUAGGCCAUUUGAUGUGUAUUGCGAUGCCUCUGGCACUGGACUUGGUUGUGUUCUUAUGCAAGACAGCCGAGUCAUCACCUAUGCCUCGCGAGCAUUACAGCCACAUGAGUUGAACUACCCUACUCAUGAUCUUGAGUUAGCGGCAGUCGUUCAUGCUCUGAAAAUGUGGAGACAUUAUCUCAUGGGAACCCGAUGCAACAUCUAUACAGAUCACAAGAGUCUUAAGUAUAUAUUCACUCAAGCAGAUCUCAACAUGCGUCAACAGAGAUGGUUAGAAUUAAUCAAGGAUUAUGACCUAGAAGUGCAUUAUCACCCAGGAAAGGCCAACGUAGUUGCAGAUGCACUCAGCCGCAAGGUCCAUUGUAACUGCUUAUCGGCGGUCAAUUAUGCCGAGACCCUGUGUCACGAAAUGGCUAAACUCAACUUGGAAAUUGUUCCACACGGCACCUUGAGUCAUAUUUCUCUGGAGCCCGCCCUGCUUGACCAAAUAAUUCUAGCACAGCUAGAGGACCAAGAUGUAAACCUUAUCAAAGAGAAACUUGCACAGGAGGACGAAGGAUAUAAACAUUUCCGACGGGAUUGGAAAGGAGUAGUAUUUUAUGAAACUCGACUUGUAAUUCCAAAUGAUCCCGACCUUAAGAAACAAAUUUUGGACGAAGCACACCUGUCCAAGUUCUUGAUUCACCCCGGCAGUACCAAGAUGUAUCACGACCUCCGACAAAAUUUCUGGUGGAGUGGGAUGAAACCCGACAUUGCUCGAUACGUUUCAGAGUGCGAUACCUGUCAGCGAGUUAAGGCAAGCCACUUGAGGGUAGCUGGCCCCUUGCAGCCGCUGCCCAUUCCCUCGUGGAAAUGGGAAGACAUAAGCAUGGACUUUAUAGUCGGAUUACCCAAUACCUCCCGCAAGCAUGACUCCAUAUGGGUUAUAGUAGAGCGACUAACCAAAACCGCACAUUUCCUUCCAGUACACACCACCCACACCAUACAGAGAUAUGCAGAACUGUACCUUGAUCGGAUUGUUUCCUUGCAUGGUGUACCUAAAACGAUCAUCUCUGAUCGAGGUAGUCAGUUUGUAGCACGCUUUUGGGAACAGUUGCAGUUUUCACUUGACACGAAACUGAUCCGCAGUUCCACAUAUCACCCUCAGACCGAUGGGCAAACUGAAAGGGUUAAUCAGAUUUUGGAGGAUAUGUUGCGCGCCUGUGCUAUUCAUUAUGACAAGAACUGGGAUAAGUGUUUGCCAUUAGCGGAAUUCUCCUACAACAACAGUUACCAAGCUAGCCUAAAAAUGGCACCUUUCGAGGCCUUGUAUGGACGUAGAUGCUGAACCCCUCUGAGCUGGUCGCAACCCGGAGAGAGAACGGUGUAUGGACCUGACCUGGUCAUAGAGGCCGAAGAAAAAGUGAGAAUCAGCCGCGAAAAUCUCAAGGCCGCCCAAUCUCGACAGAAGAGCUAUGCCGAUCAGAGAAGGAGACCCAUCCAAUUUAAGGUUGGAGAUUUUGUAUACCUACGGGUUUCACCGACCAAAGGCGUACAACGUUUUGGAGUAAAGGGAAAGUUAGCUCCGCGCUAUAUUGGUCCCUACGAGAUCGUAGAGACGUGUGGACCCGUAGCAUACCGAGUACAGCUUCCAAAAAAGAUUGCAGCGAUACACGAUGUUUUCCAUGUCUCGCAACUCAAGAAGUGCAUCAGAAUUCCAACUGAAAUCAUUACCCCGGAAGAAUUGGAGAUUGAACCCGAUUUAUCAUAUAAGGAGUAUCCAGUUAAGAUCCUCGACCGGAAGGAAAGAUACACUCGUCGGCAAAGGGUCAAGAUGUACAAAAUUUAGUGGAGUCACCAUACGGAAGACGAAGAGACAUGGGAGACGGAAGAAUAUCUCAACGCUAACUUCCGCGGUUUUCUUUUAGAUCAAGGAGGUACGUUGCACCAGCCACACUAGUUCCUUCUGCACUUGAAUCUCGGGGCGAGAUUCCUUUAAGGGGGGUAGGCUGUAACAACUCUACCUAAAUUAAGUGCUUUAAUCCUAAACCAGUGUCAAUUAAACCCCUAAGCUACGAAGUGAAAUGACCUUUUUAAACCUAAGAAGCUCUCUUUUGGAGUUUGUUUUAAAGCUUGAAAUUCUAUAUACAAACUUAAGUUUCUGCCCAAAUAAGAGUUGUAAAACUUUUAAUUUCCCACAACUUUUGUUAAAGGCACCUUGUCUAAGUCGGAGUGGAAAGGAGUCAGAAACAGCAACCCAAGCCGGUUCUCCUGCAGGACCCUGAAAAUCUCUUAAGUCCUGGAAUUUGAGUUUUCCUCCAUCUUUGCAAGCUUUCAUCUCCUGUUUUCCUAUCUAAACUCGAGUCAGAGCCUUAAUAGAAGUUGUAGUACCUCAAGAGUGUUCCAGCUUUGUUACACUGACCCAGAUCCAAAUCGGGCCCGAACUUGUUCAAAAUCCCGGUCAAAGUGAGGUAAACCAGUCAACUCACCCCGGAUGCUUAAAAAUCCUAAGUCUGGAAUCCCAGAUUUUUGGCUAAUUUUGGACGGAAAUAUCUUUGAAUCCUUUCACAAUCUAAACCGACACCUUAAACAAAGUUUGAAGGAUUACCAGAGUCGAACAAGUUUGUUUAAGGGAGUUUCGGGUGUUGUGUUGAAAGAUUCGGAGAAGGAUCGCUCCAAAGCUGGUCUGGCUUGCAGCCCGAAGGGAGCCUCGAUGCCCGCGCGCCCGAGCAUGUUCGCUCGCGCGCCGCGUGGCCGCCGGCCACCAGCAGCUCGCCGGCGCCCUAUACCCAGCGCGACAGCGACCGGACGAGAGCCACGGUGCCCAACCCGCACCCGCGACAGGACGGAGCAAGCGCAGGGCUAGCCAAUCGCCGGCUGAGCGCAAGUCGCCUUCCGUCUGCCACGGCUCUGCUCCACCAAUCCUGUUCCGCCCGUUCGCCGAGGAAGCUGAGAUGCCCCCGACGUCCCGCGUCUCCGCCCGCUCGCCCAACCCCCGCGGUAGCCUUUCCGCCUCGCCCGCCCGACAGACCGGAAGCACCAGACGCUCGCCGCCCAAGGCCAAUCGCCACCGAAGACCACCCGGAGCUCCGCCUCCUCUGCCCAAUAGCGUCGUCGGCCAAUGGCCGCCUCGCUCGAGCACUCGCCGCUCCCGGCCUUAUCCUUUCCCCACCGGAGCCCCGCCUCGACCCUCCGCGCCACCCCGGGCCUAUAAAAGGGGACCCCCUCACCGGCAAUGCCACCCCUUGCCACCGCCCGCACCUGCGCCGCCGCUUUCUCCUCUGCGCCCUGCCUUCUCCUCUGAGCCACCGCUUUCUUUCCGCGCCGCGCUGAGCUUCUGUGGAGCUCACCCCCUUGCGCCACCACCACACUCCGGUGACUUCGCCGCCACCCCAAGCCGCUUCAUCCGACACACCCGCCGCUGCUCCUCCGCGCGGUACUAGAGCUUGCUUGUGUCCACCAGAAGCACACCGCCGCCGGACCACCGUCGAAGUCUCGCCACCGCCCAAGCCUUCGUGCGUACAACCUUCCCGCCCCAGCCUGCUCCUGUUCGGCCCCAAGGCAUCACCGGUAGACAUGGAGGUAAGCUACUUAACCUCCCUGUCUUUCCGUCCCGCCCGACCCCUAUCCUUGUUCGGUUCGUCCGACCCCUUUGUUUCGGUUCGUCCGAACCCUUUGUUUCGGUUCGCCCGACCCCUUUUCUUUUCGUCUCGCCCGACCCUGCCAAGUUUCGCCGACCCUCUCUCCGCCUCGCCCGAGGGCUCGGUUGUAAUUCUUUUUCUUUGACCCGAGGGUAUCGGUGAAAUGUUUUCGGGGAUUCCUCUGUGUUGAGUCUGAGGACCUCGGUACGGUUUUCCUUAAACCUGAGGGUCAGACCCUAAGUUUUCCCCAAUCCAACCCUUCCAUCCUACUCUCCACAUGCAGAAGUUGAACUCCCCCACCUUUCCUGUAGCUUUGCUACAAGUGUCCGUGUUAAAGCAUGGGAAUGUUGAAAUAACCAUCUAAAAUGUUUAACCCCUGCAUUGCAUUUCCGUGUAGAGUUGAAUCUCGCCGACGGGACGUACGAGCUUCAUCCAGCCCCGGAAGAAGACCCCGUCGAGGAACAACUGCACCCCUUCGAAGGACAGCCCGAGCCAGCGCAAGACCCCGAGGACCCCCAAGCUUUUUCUGAAGGCAAGCCCCGGUGCAUGAACUCCCUGUUUUGCUUUCAUGCCACUGAUUGAUUACUUGAUUGCGCAUUUACAUUUUGAGGACUUGUAAUGGAACCUUAGAUGCAUAACUUAGUACCUUGUUUUGAAUACUAGUCUCUAAGGCCGAGUAGUUGCAUUGCUUAAUAGGUCUCGGUAAAAGUCGAGUGAUCUCCUGUCACUCGCGAGUUAUAGGAGUUGAAUGUUUCAGUUUUGUCGCAACUAUAAGGACGACGGACGGGGUCAGGCUUGUGUUCGAUGCUUGGUGGAUUGCCCCGUCUGUCUAAAUGAAAACGAACUAAGGUCAAAACAUGUCGGCGUUCGUGAUCAAGUGAUUGAAAGUACUAAUCUCAUACCUAGCAUGAGAUGGGGAAGCCUAGUACCUGAUUGAAUUGGGGCGUGGCAUACCUUCCAGCUGUCCUUGGAACGUCGUUCCCAUGGUGCAUCAUGUGGGUGCAAGUGCGGUCACAGUGCAGCACUAGGCCGGGACUGUGGAGCAUUGCAUGCCAAAGGAAGUUGGCCCUGACACGUGCCUAAGAGAUCGAUGGGGACGGCUGACAAAUGAAGCGACCCUUCGUGGUGCGCGGAUGUCGUGAGAUUAGGUUUGCCAUGCAUGGUUAAUAAAUUCGAAUCGAUUCGUCUGCCUCUCACAGAUUGGGACUACUUGAUCGCUAUGCUGCACUGAGUAAGGAUGGAACAUGAUGAGGUUUUAAAUCUUGAUGUUUGAUAAGUAAUUGUCUGGAAACCAUGUUUGUUUAGUAUAAGUUGCUAAUUUAGAAUGGAUAAAGAACAUAGAACAUGAGCUAAAAGGUUGAAAGUAAGGACUAACUUUAGACGCUUUUGGCAAGAAAAACCCCAGAGCCAGAAAGCAUUGCAUGUUUAGGUCUCGGUCGUGUCCUUCCGACGGGUCAGUCUUGCUGAGUACUAGUUGCUCAGCCUUGUUGUGGCUAAUCUUUUUCAGUUAAUGUCAGUAGCUUUGGUGUUGGUACCACUUGGCCGACCCAGCUUCCUCCAGGCUGGACCGUCGAGUGGGAUCCUUCCUCGGACGGCGAAGGGAGGAAUUUUUGAUGUCAUGAUCGGAUCCGUCAUGAUGUCUUGUAUCAACGUUUAGCUUCCGCUAGUUUUAAUUUGACCUCGAACCAUGCAAAAUUUCGGUUGAAGUUCCAAAACUCUGAUGUAAUAAAUUGUUGAACUAUGUUGUCAUGAUGGGAUGUUGUAAUCUCUGUGCUACUCACCUUCGCGUGAGCGAUGCUUCUCGAUCCUGUUUACGUGGUUUAUCGGAGGAAAUCCGACGGUCGACCAAGUUGACUUGCUUAAAGUGCAUAAUCGCAUGUCAGGCGACUUCAAUGCAUUUUAGUCAGGUUAAUUUGGGCGGUUCCGCCACACUGAGACUACUCCAAAUUGACAAAGCCCGCUACACGCUCAGCGACCGGCUCCAGAUCCUCCAAAUACUGCGUGAACGCUUCAUCGCUACAAUCUCCGGUGAUACCGUAUGUGACCAACGUCAAGUUAGCGAUAGAAUACAGAAUUAUGAUCAACAAGAUACGAGUACAAGUACUCACCCUCCAAUUUUUGCUACAAGGACUUGUUGGGCGCCACCAUACGACUCCUCUCCACUUCAAAAUCAUGCCUUUUAAUUCGAAAGGACUCAAUGACAUUUUCAUACUUCUUCAGGAAGUCAGCAGUGCAGCGGUGCUCCUCAGUAAUGUCCUUCUCCAACUGCGCCACAGGGCGCGCAGCCUCACCCUGCUCUUGGACAACUUGGAUAUUCUUGAGAGAUUUUUCAUACAAAUCCUCCACAAUCAAACAAUUAGUACUCUUCACGAGUACAUAUGGUGCCAGGCUACAAAAUUAAGCACUCAAAUGCAGUACUAAGAACUCACCUGAGUAUAAGCCAUCAACUGUUGAUGCAAGUUCACAAAGUCAGAUAUCGGUGGCAGCUCAUCUAGGGGACUCUCAAAAAUUUCAACUUUCUGCGACAAUCCUGGAGCAUCGGCCACCACACUAGCCCUCACACUCGACGUUAGGAUUAGCUUCUGAGAAAAAGAAGCUCCAACCUCUGAAACAUUCUUUUCCGCUGCUUGCUCAAGCACAGAAGUUGUCACUACAAUCUCGGUUGCAGGGGGAGGAUUGUCAUUAACAACCUCGGAGGCUGGCAGCGCCAGACCCUCAAGUGAAUAGAUUACAUCUCGCAAUAUGGCGGCUGCAAGAGUCACUGCACCUGUGUCACCAGUAUGCGCUGGGUCUUCACUUAUCAAAUCGACAACAGGUGCCGCAGCAGAAUCCGCGCCCGAUGGAUUUUCAACCUGUUCUGCGCUCACUUCUUCGAGAACAAUAUCCUCGGAAGUUCUAAUAUCAAACACGAUUCAAGAUUAAAAAAGAGACUACUGAUCGUGAAGUCGGUAAUCAAACCAUUACAAUAGAGUACUUACUUGGCCGACCGGGGAGGAACUCGACGAUGUUUCUUCGCCACGGGGACUGGAUGUACACUCGGAGCUGGCUCACUAGCCGGUACGGGUGGCAACUCCUCGGUGUUUUUGCCAAGAUCUGAAAGAACCAACUCAGAGACAACGUACGCACGACUACUACCAGUACUCGCGUACUCACCGCUAGCUGGGACUUCAGGCAAAGUGGUGUCAGAAACUGCUUCGGGCAUUUUCACAAUUCCACUUAUGGUAGUCUCUAACGAGUCGCCCGCUUCACCACUCGCAACUUCAAGAACAACGGCUACUUGAGUGGUAGCCAUCUCGGGCAUCAUGGCUGCAUCUUCAGCGGAUGUCUCCAAAGAAAUCACACUACCAGCCGCAUCCUUAGCUAUCGCGACUACAUCAUCAGAAGUAGUCUCGCCAGCUCUGUACGCUGCAUUCGCGGCUUCCUCAAUGUCUUCAUCCAUAUCAUCAACAACCUGCAAACACAAACGUCAAAACAAGUCAAUUCGACUAGUCAAGGUAAUUACCGGCGGUGGAGCCUUGAACGUCUCCAAGUGCUUGCUGACAGAUCGCUUAUGCAAUACGGUCCGUCUCUUCUUUGGCAUUGGAGCCUGGACCUCUCCAUCACCAACAUCUCCCGCUGGAUGCUUCAAGGUAUCGGUUCUAAAUUUAUAUCCUUUGAGAACUCGAGACUGCAUAGGGAAACAUGAUCAGACAACUCGGACUCAGACGAUGCAAAAUCUGAACCGCCAAGCAUCUCAGAGUCCCCAUCCUCCUCCUCCUCCUCUGAGGGAUCAUCAGGCAAGCGCACGUAGUACACAGAUUUCACGUUCUUUGCACCAUCAGCAUCAGGGUGAGGAGGAGGAGAAAAGUAUAAAAGGACAUCCUCCUGCGUAAGGAAUUACUGGUUGGCAAACAUAACGACUAUUAAUUAUGGGUACUCAAAAGGAAAGCAAGUUACCUCUCUGGGUUGAUACCAUUUGUCAAACUCCUGAAUGGACUCAUCAACUUCGGGCACUCCUUGAAAAUUCUUCAAAAAUUUGCUCAACAAGUCUUCAACCGCUUCAUUAGAUAUAUCUUCAAUAGACAUCCAAGAUGGAUCAUCAAAGCCUGAGGACUCGUAGCCCCAAGUCUAGCGCAACUGCAAUGGUUGUUCUCUUCUCUUCAAGAAGCUGGCUGCUACAUUUAUCCCUGUCAGCCCUGCUUUCUUCAAUGUUGCUAUCAUCUGCAACAACUCAGCCACUUGAUGAUUGUCCUCAAUGCUAGGCUCUUCAAGCCACUUGCUCGAGUACUUCGGGCGGUACCCGGUAAUCACUGGCAUUGGAGGCUCAUGGUUCUCAAUAUAAAACCAGUUCUAUUUCUAGACACCAUGGGACGGCAGAGUCUCAUAUUCCAGAUACACUUCGGAGUCCCUUAGCUGAAACCCUGCGCCUCUGAGUACUGCCAUUCUAUCUUGACUAGGCUGGGGCUUGCAGCAGAAAAGCUUACAAAAUAAUUGAAAAUGGGGUUGUAUUCCCAAAUAUGCCUCACAAAGAUACACAAAGAUUGCAAUGUGCAGUAUCCCAUUGGGAUUCAGAUGAACAAGCUGAAUGUCGUAAAAGUUGAGGAUACCUCUGAAGAAAUCCGAUGUUGGAAUAGCAGGUCCUCUCUCAACAAAAUGAGCCCAAAUCACUGUCUCUUUUGGAUGGACCUCAAGGUUCUAGGCAUUGGCAUAGGCGCACCUCCAAUUCACGACAACCUCCUCCUGUAGCAAUUUUACAUCCACCAACUCUUGGAUUGCUUCCUUCUUCAUGGUGGACAUCUUCCAAGUGGAUGCUUGAUUUGGCAAAGCAGUCUGAUCGGUAGGCCCACAUUUGGGUGGAGGAAGCUGCGGCUGCUUCCCCUUCCUGGAAUCUUUCAUCGAUUCUUUUAUAGCUUUUCCCUUGGACUUGUCAGUCUUCUUCCCCAUCUUCACAUGCAUCACCAUGGGGCGUGUAAGAGGAGGAGGAGAAAACUACUAUAACACUUAAAGUUGCUUACUUCAGAUGAUGGUGGCGGCGGCGACGACGCAAGUGGCGGCGUUAGGGUUUUGUCAAGAUGGAGAAUGACAUAUGCGAAUGGCUGGAAGCAUAAACAAUGGAGGCUACCGGCCUUAUCUUUUAUAACAGCGCAACGGAUCUAAAACAGCUCCACGAUUCUAGGAACACAGCCGGUAAUCUCGCAACGGUCUGAUACUCUCAAGAUUUAUCUUGAUAUUGAAGUCCAACGGUCACGUUGAUCAUGAUUGACCCCUUCAUCACCUGGAAGUAAUCGAUCAAGUGCUCGAGGGCUGCAUACACCUCGCCUGUUGGAUAAAAAUUUCUUUUUCUUCAGGGAUUAAGGAAAGACGAAGCAAAUUCAGUUUGACCCUCAGCCUGAUUCUUCGAUUCAACCUAAGGCUCGGGGGCUACUCCAUAUGAAGUGCGAUUUUCGUCGCACUUCCAUAUUAAGGCUUGAAGACAAACUACUCAAAACCAAUGUCAGAAUGGGGCAGGAGUACCUUCCAGCCGCAUGAUAGCAUUCGAGUACUCGAAGACUAGCCACGACAGAAGUACUCAACGAGCACCAAAGACUAGUCGAGCAACGUCUGCUGAGUACUCGGAACUGUUUCAUUUGACUACAAAGUACUCGUGGUCUUGGCGACCAUACAUCCCCGAGCCCACCAGAAGAUCUGUACGGACCCACUCAAGGGGAUGUACUCGAGACGUAUCAGAACAUGAGGACUACGCUACAGGGCAAUGUAGACUACAUGGAACUUCUGAAGGACUAGUCGGAAUACAAGGAAACUACUCUGCCAAGUUAGAGUAGGACUCUGUAAUCUUGUCCGACUAGUACUCUUGUACCAAAGACUACCAUAUAACCCUGCUCCCCCGAUAUAUAAGGGCGGGCAGGGACCCCCUCAAAACAAGUUCAAUCGAAUACAAGCAUACAACACACAGGAUGUAGGGUAUUAUGCGAUCUAGCGGCCCGAACCUAUCUAAAUCGUGUCCCUGCGUCACCAUCGACUACUUCAUUUCAGCGACACCCACCAACCAAAACACUAUCUCGGGUACUCCCUUGAUAGGUUGCUGGGUUAAAACACCGAUAAAUACCUACCAACUCCAUGAGGAGGUCAGAAAAGGGGGUUUUUGGAGCACCUCUUGAGGUAUUCCAAAAAAACGUGGAUCUACCCCCUGCUCCACCUUUUUCCUGGAGCCGCAGUUGCUGGAGCUAGACGCGUUUGGCUGCGAAAUUUUUAGAGUUGGUGAAGUAAAGCAAUUUUUUCUGAAGUAAAGUGUUGUCAAACAGUAAGACCUACUGUACAUCGAUGCAAAAUUUACCCGAUCGCUUAUAACUUUCUAUCCCGCCAUUGCUGUUAUUAGUAGUAGUUUUUAACUAAUACUAGUAUGCCACAGUUACGUACGGCGUCAAAACGGACGGCAACAUCUCUCGGUGAUCCCAUCAACCCGCCCACGCCGCCACAGGGCCGCGCCCCGCACCGCAAGCUCGCGGGAUUCGGGCGCCGCGCGCCGUCCGUGCCCACGCAUGGGGAGCUCAGCAAGUUCUCCUACUCUGCCUGUCUGCCUGCUCUCCCGCCCGUUCGACGACAACGCCCCCGUGAACGGCUCGCUGGUUCUCGGCGACGGUGGCGGUGGCAAAAGCCGUCGGGAUGCAGUACGUCCCGGCCCUUUGGUCAAGAGCGCGGCCGGCGACAUGGCCCUGACCGGCGUGGUAGUGCAGGAAGGCCGUGCGGCUGCCGGAGCGGGCGUUCUCCGCCAAAUGCCUGCGGAGCGCGGGGGGCGCCAUCGUGGACUCCGGCACGACAUUCGCGUACCUGGACCCGAAGGUGUUCCAGGCGGAACUGCUCCUGCCUCCGCGCCCGUGCGCCCGACGUCAGACGCAGCGGCCUCCACGGGCACCGCGCCCUGGCGAGCGCCCCGAGCCACCUCCGGAGCAGGGGAGACCCCAGACACGGAACCUGCGCGACAAGCCGGCGUACCAGGUUCGGGUCGGCCGGCUGCUUGGCCGCUUAGGCUUGGGUUGGGUAUGCGCUCGACAUCGACGGUUUCAAUUUUCAAUGGUAUACAGAAAAUCUUCUCAUCGAUUAAGCAGUCUACAAGAAAUCACAAAACAAAGCAAUCGCUAGGCAGCAUAGCAUCAGGCAUCGUUAGCAACGUAAACAGCUCGUCCUCCGGCUGCUGUCCUGAGAAACAGGCAGCCAGAGAGACACGUCCACACAUCACUCGCGUCUCGUUCUUCAGAGGAACCUGUCGAGGUACUCGUCGACGGUGGUGUACUUGACGUCCGGGUACAGCUCGCUCGCGUCCACCCCCUUCGCCGGGUCGAUCUCGAAGCCGGCCUGCUCCCCCAUCACGUACGACGCGUGCCCGAUCGCCAGGAUGAUGUUCAGCGGCAUCGCCGACUCUGCACAUCCACGCAAUUAUUUGCCAUGUCAAUUAGCCAAACACACACGUUCCAAACGCUCCCACAGCUCCUCUCCCCGGCGGAGCCAAACGCACUGGCUGACCUUGGAUCUGCUUGAGCACGGCUUCCUCGGGGAUGUACACCCGCUCGAACGCCUUGCCGGUCUUCUUCUCCCACAGCGACAGGAGCUCGUUGUGCGACAGCGUGUUGGCCGGCGGCCUGACGUACAGCGUCCGGUUCUCGGCGCGCGGGUCGCCGGCGGCCAGCACCGUGUACGUCCCGAUGUCGCCUUCCUCCACGAACACGGCCUUGGCGUUGCCGUCGCCGAGGACGAUCGCCUUGUCCGUAGGCGCCGCCGGGGAGAGGAGCUGCCCGAUGGUCGGGAGCGCGUACCCCGCGAAGUACCCGGCCACGGCGUAGGUGUAGGGGAUCCCCGCGGCCUCGGUGGCGCGGCGGAUCGCCGCCUUGCCGGACAGGAUGGUCUUGGCCGGUUCCACGACGCCCGUCCGGUCCACGUCCAGGCCGAACUCCGAUGGGAAGAACCUCUGCACACACAACGACCAUCUAGCUAGUGAGAAUGCGUGUCCAGGGAUUGACAAAUGGAUGGACGGUGAGAACGAGAGCGAGGAGCCGAGGACCUUGACGUUGCCGGCCUCCUUGAUGGCGUCGAUGAGCCUGGUCUGGUCGGCGAUCUGCUGCGACCCGACGGUGGAGAUGACCACGUCGGCGGACUUGACGGCGCUCACCAGGCUGGCGUGGUCGUAGAGGUCGCCCUUGAGGAGCGUCACGCCGGCGUCCUGGAAGCUCUUGAGCAGCGCCGCCUUGGCCGGAUUGGACGGCGCCGUGUCCCUGACGAGCGCGAAGGUCGGGUGGCCCAGCCGCGCGCUCGCCGCCACGACGUGCCUGCCCAGGUACCCGGUGGCGCCGACCACCAGGAUCUUGCUCUUCUCCGACGCCAUCCUGUGUCACUACCCGACAGAACCUCAGAAACUCGCUUGGCGUCUGAUUGGCAUCCAGCGCCACUGUAUAUAAUGGUCUGAUCGAGUAUCACAUUCACAGCUGGUUCCAUCGAUAUUUUGUUUCGUCGACUGAUGGUUGUGGUGAAGCGUGAACCUGGUUGUGUUUCCGGACUUGGACAUUAUGGGCCGAAACCUUGGUGUCGUCAUUGUUCAAGGAUGACGACAUUUGUGUUUGGCCUACUUUUUCGGAAUUGCUAUAUUGUGCCCGAGUAUCUUGCUCUCUUCCACCCACUUCAAAACUUUUCUCUUCGCCCUAUCACCAAUUCUAGCGAGAUUUUCUGUCUCCUCCGCCUCCGUUGUGUUAGCGAUAUCGGGAUAUUUUUACAACACGGUUGGAAAUCUGGGGAUGAACAAAAAUUUAUGUAAGAAGAAAUAAAAAAGAGAAAUCGGUGCAUGAAGAGAAAUUUUAAAUUACCAUUGUGGGCUUGUGGACACGGACGGGGAGUGGAUGCUCUUUUUAAACUUGGAUGUGGUUAGAGUUGGACCAAUUUUAUGCCUAAAGCAGUGGUCAUUUUUUUCAUUUCUUUCUCUCCUCUGCACUGGGAAAUUAUUCCACUAACAAAGACAACAUUGAGUAGAGUUCAUCAACAAAAAUGGCAAAAUUUGAUAAUGUUUAGUAGUCAGGCGUCUUCAACUAAGGUAACUUCCCGUCAACUGUGGCCGAGUCCAUGGUCGGCAAAAGCAAAAUUUGGCCAGAUCCGCUCAGCCUAAUUUGGAAUUCUGGAUAGAGCUUGGGGGCUAAUGAUGAGUGAUGAUAAUGAAAUAAGCGUCAAAGAAAGGUUUUAGAUUGCUCAAUUCAAGAUCAAGUUCGUACUGUCGAGUCUUAUUAGCAUACACAUCAUCCCGACGAAUUGAUCUACUUGUAUACGAGUAGGAGUUCAUAACCGACUACGACAACAAAAGUGGUUCUCGAUCGGUAUAUGUACGCAUCAUGGGGCGAUGUACGAGACACAUAAGCUUUUGGGCUUUUGGGUUGCAUCUUGACCUAAAUACCAAAUUGUUUGUGCUCACGGUAAUAGAAAAAACUCUUAUACUCAAAUCAUGAGGCCUGAACCUGUAUAAAUCGCCCGCGUGCUAUUCCGGUUCUUGACGCAUCUUAAUAUUGAUCGUGAUCUUAUAUUGACACAUCAUUCCUUGUCGACUUAGAUCACCAAUCCUUGACAAUUUAAAUUACCAAAAAUGAUGAAAAUUACAAGGUGCAUAUUGUUCUCGUCUCGUCCUUCAGAGGAACCUGUUGAGGUACUCGUCGACGGUGGUGUACUUAACGUCCGGGUACAGCUCGCUUGCGUCCACCCCCUUGGCCGGGUCGAUCUCGAAGCCGGCCUCCUCCUCCCCCUUCACGUACGCCGCGUGCCCGAUCGCCAAGAUCAUGUUCAGCGGCAUCGCCGCCUCUUCAGCUGAAUGAAAUGAAUUGCAUAUUUUAAUUAACCACGCAUCCACAGUGAUAUAGAUUCAGAUGUUAUCCCCCGACAGUCCGACACCAUGAUCGAUCGAGCCAACAAGGCACUGACCUUCUUGGGUCUGCUUGAGCACGGCGUCCACGGGGAUGUACUCCCGCUGCAACGCCUUGCCGGUCUUCUUCUCCCACAGCGACAGAAGCUCGUCGCGCGACAGCGUGUUGGCCGGCGGCCUGAUGUGCAGCGUCUUGUUCUCGGCGCGCGGGUUGCCGGCGGCCAGCACCGUGUUCGUCGCGAUGUCCCCCUCGUCCACGAACGGCACUCUGGUGUCGCCGUCGCCGAGGAUGACGGCCUUGUCCUCUCCCUGCCCGAUCCCGAUGGAGGGGAGCGCGAGGGCUGCCAAGUACCCGGCGACGGCGUAGGUGUAGGGGAUGCCCACGGCCUCGGUGGCGCGGCGGACGGCGGCCUUGCCGGACAAGAGGGACUUGUGCGGCUCCACGUCCACGACGCCCGUCCGCGCCACGUCCAGGCCGAACUCCGCCGGGUCCUCAGGGGUGUUUGGAUACACCACCUAAAGUUUAGCAUGUGUCACAUCGGAUCUUUGGAUAGUAAUUAUGAGUAUUAAACAUAGUUUAAUUAUAAAACUAAUUGCACAGAUGGAGUCUAAUUCGCGAUAUGAAUCUAUUAAGGGCCUGUUUGGACGCGAGGUCAUAAAGUUUAUGACAUGUCACAUCGGAUGUUUAGAUACUGAUUAGAAGUAUUAAAUAUAAUCUAAUUACAAAACUAAUUACACAUAUGGAGUCUAAUUUGCGAGACGAAUCUAUUAAGCCUAAUUAGUCCAUGAUUUGACAAUGUGGUGCUACAGUAACCAUUUGCUAAUGAUGGAUUAAUUAGGCUUAAUAGAUUCGUCUCGCGAAUUAGUUUUAUAAUUAGCUCAUGUUUAGUCCUCCUAAUUAGCGUCCGAACAUCCGAUGUGACCCCUCCUAAAGUUUAGUACCUUGUAUCCAAACACCCCCUAAGCCUAAUUGGUCCAUGAUUUGACAAUAUGGUGCUAUAAUAACCAUUUGCUAAUGAUGGAUUAAUUAGGCUUAAUAGAUUCGUCUCACGAAUUAGCUCAGUAGUUCUGCAAUUAGUUUUAUAAUUAGCUCACAUUUAGUCCUCCUAAUUAGCAUCCGAACAUCCUAUGUGCUAAAGUUUAGCACCUAGUAUCUAAAUAUCACUCUUAGAGAUAAGUAUCCUAGGUUGUUUACGAACAGAAGUUAAGUAAGAAUGGAUUCUAUCCAUAAGGAUCCAAUCCGAGUUGUCUUAGUCAUGAAGUCAAAGAUUCCCGAUAUAAUUGAGGGAUAUGGACUCAUUGAAAAUAAAAAAGAAAGCAAUUAUAUUUCCCUCGAUCACUCUCCCUUUGUUCAAGCGCUGCAACCCCCCCCCCCCCCCCCCCCCCCCAACACACACACACACACCCACACACCACAAACUAGGACUGUAACAUGGUGGAGGAGCGAGCGUCGAUAAGUGGCGCGAGCAAGAGAUGGUGGCAGGCGGUGAUAGGGUUCACAGAGGAGGAAAAAGGCUGCACGCAAGAUCAGACGGCUAAUCUCAAAUAUCGGAAGUCUCUCUUCUUCUGGAAGAUCAUAGGAUCCGGAAGCCGACCGAUCAACCAGGAGAUUACUUAACAAAUGGACCGUCCAUUACAAAAGUCGUGGUACAUACCAAUGCAACAAACUGGAUCACGAAAGGGAUCGGAUCUUAUUGGCGUGGAAUUGACGGGACCUGGCCAGUGCAGGUACCCUCGAUCGAUCAGAGACACAUGGUACUAUCGCGCAUGCUGUGCUUCAGCAGUACAGGUGACAGUAGGCAAAGCACCAACAACCAACCACACGUCACGCGCGCCGUCUUCUUCAAAGGAACCUGUUGAGGUACUCAUCGACGGUGGUGUACUUGACGUCGGGGUACAGCUCGCUUGCGUCCACCCCCUUCGCC